GAGGUUGAAGCUGCUAGUCCCGAUGUUGGAGGAAAUUAGAGAAAGCAACGACCCCAUCAGUGAAGAAACGUUGGGGACGCUGGUCUCCUUGAAAGAAGCCUUGAGCUCGGCCAAGGAUCAUCUCAAAUUCUGCAGCGGAGGGAGCAAGAUCUAUCUGGUGCGUGCGUGCGUCUGCUUUGAUUAGAUCGGUCACUGAGAAACUGAUGAUAUCUGUUUGUAGGUCAUGGAGAGAGAACAAGUGACGAGUAAGCUGCAGGAGGUUUCAGUUCAGCUGGAACAAUCUUUAAGUAAGAUUCCUUAUGAGGAUCUUGACAUAUCAGAUGAAGUUAAAGAACAGGUAAAAAAUCUUAGAUUAGUUCAGAUGUGUUGAAGUUGGAUCAAGAUUUGGUGGCGUUUUGUUUGUUUUUGCAGGUUGAGCUGGUUCUGAGUCAGUUUCGGCGAGCCAAAGGAAGAGUAGAUGCAUCAGACGAUGAGCUUUAUCAAGAUCUUCACUCAUUGUGUAUCAAAAGCAGUGAUGUGGAUGAUCACCAGCCUGCCCUGCAGCGGGUUGCAAACAAGUUACAGCUGAUGGAGAUUCCUGACUUAGCUCAAGAAUCGGUGGCUCUGCACGAAAUGGUCGCUUUGAGCGGUGGUGAAAACAUAGAGGAGAUGGCAAUGGUGCUGAAGCUGAUUAAGGAUUUUGCGCAGAUGGACAACAGCGACGACCAUAAAGUAAAUGGACAAACUUCCACGGCUGCGAGUCAGAAGAUACCCGCCGUGAUUCCCGAUGAUUUUCGCUGCCCAAUAUCUCUGGAGAUGAUGAGAGAUCCAGUUAUUGUUUCAACAGGGCAGGUAAAGUUCAUUUCAACUUCAAUUUACUUGAUCUCUUCAUGUUUGAUAAUCUCUCUCUUCUGUGUAUAGACCUACGAACGCACCUGCAUUGACAAGUGGAUAGAAGCUGGGCACUCGACAUGUCCUAAAACACAGCAGGCGCUAACAAGCACAACGCUCACACCUAACUAUGUUCUCCGUAGUCUCAUAGCUCAGUGGUGCGAGGCUAAUGAUAUUGAGCCUCCAAAACCUCCUUGCAGUUUUAGGCCCAGCAAAGUAUCGUCCUUCUCCUCCCCAGCUGAGGCAAACAAGAUCGAAGAUCUUAUGUGGAGACUCGCUUACGGUAACCCAGAGGACCAAAGAUCUGCAGCUGGGGAGAUCCGCCUCCUUGCAAAACGAAAUGCAGACAACCGUGUGGCCAUAGCCGAAGCUGGAGCCAUACCUCUUCUCGUCGGCCUUCUCGCAACUCCUGAUUCUCGUAUCCAAGAACAUUCUGUCACAGCUCUUCUCAACCUCUCCAUAUGUGAGAACAACAAAGGAGCCAUUGUUUCUGCUGGAGCUAUCCCUGGUAUAGUUCAAGUUCUCAAGAAAGGAAGCAUGGAGGCUAGAGAGAAUGCGGCUGCUACGCUUUUUAGUCUCUCCGUGAUUGACGAAAACAAAGUCACUAUCGGUGCCUUGGGAGCAAUCCCACCCCUCGUUGUGCUGCUUAACGAAGGCACGCAUAGAGGCAAGAAAGACGCUGCUACUGCACUUUUCAACCUCUGCAUAUACCAAGGAAACAAAGGAAAGGCCAUACGAGCGGGAGUGAUUCCCACCUUGACUAGACUCUUAACAGAGCCCGGAAGCGGAAUGGUCGAUGAGGCGCUGGCGAUUCUGGCCAUUCUCGCUAGCCAUCCCGAAGGGAAAUCCAUCAUAGGAUCACUGGACGCCGUCCCGAGCCUGGUGGAGUUUAUCAGAACGGGUUCCCCUAGAAACAGAGAGAACGCAGCUGCGGUUCUAGUUCACCUCAGCUCUAAUGACCCACAACAUCUGGUGGAAGCUCAGAAACUCGGCCUUAUGGGUCCGUUGAUAGAUUUAGCCGGAAAUGGGACAGAUAGAGGGAAAAGAAAAGCAGCCCAGUUGCUUGAACGUAUAAGCCGUCUAGCUGAACAGCAGAAGGAGACGGCUGCUCAUGAACAAACCAAAGAAGAAGCUGAACCAACAGAUUCAGCAUCAACCACAGAAGCUGCUGAUCCUUGAAAAAAACUAAGUUCAUUUCUCCUACUUACGUCUGUUAUUAUUCCCACUUUCUUUUUUAUUCUCCUUCGAGGUAGGCUUCACUGUAGACGGCAGAAGCAGUCCUGUGAUACCUCUGCAAGGACGGAGCAAUCCGGACCUGAGGAGAGAAAAGCAAAUAUGCAUACAUAGACGUCAACUUGUAUCAUUGUAAUCUUAAAUGUUUGUAAUCAACUCCACGGGCUUUUUUUUCUUUUGGUUUAAAAUUUAAAUACAAGAUCUCUGUUCACUUUCCAAAUUGCAUUACUAAGACCAUCUCCAAUAUAUUUUGCUAUUUUCAUUUCUAAAAUAGAGGAAUUCUAUAACAGAAAUGAGAAUUACUCCAAUGUAUUUCUCUAUAAUAUCAAUCUCCAAUUAUAGAGUGAAAAAUAGAGGAAUGCUAUUUCUUCUUCUAUAAAUAGAGGAAAAUAUAGAGAUCUCUAUUAUAGAAGAAGAAAUAGAGGUGGGUUGGAGUAAUUUUACCUCUAAAUGUUAUUAUAGAGGUGAAAAUAAAUAGGUUGGAGAUGCUCUAAGAGAUACUGGUUGAAAAUACUGCAGAUUUUGUUUUUUUCUUUCUUGAACGUAUGAUUAACCUUUCUGUAGACUCGUGCAUAUCUCCAUUGUUUUUACUGCAACAUUAUCAAACAGAAAAACGUCUCCAUUUUAACUUGCUUCAUUCAAUUCAUAUCCACCUUUUGCUCACAAAAGUGGCACCAACAUUUUUUUUUUUGGAACCAACAUUUUUCACUCGCAGCAUUGCCCAUAUCAAUAUAUCAUAGAAAGGGAAACGACGUUGAGAAGGCUUCUUUCACGGACUAACUUUAAACUCUUGUACUAAGUACAAGCUAUCAAAUUCGACCAGAAGUGUUGUGUUGAGUUGUAAUGUUCGUGUUUGCUGGUGAGUUUCUUUGUUCAAUUGUUGUGUUGUAUUUGUUUUUAGUCACUUUUUUUAGUUUUUGGGUCCAAAUAAGAUUACACAAAGUGGCUCAAUUUGUUAGUAAUAUAAGUUUGAUUUUUUUUAUGAACGUUAUUUCCAAGAAAACACAAAUUUUACUGUCAUUUUUGGCCAAACAGACAAUUACGUAGCCAAGUAUUUGGGAUCCCACAAAUUUAACCAUUUUUAUGUUUGAAUACUUCAUAGAGCAACUGUCACAACAUCUGAUUCAGCUAAUACCAAAAUUGAUUGUUUGCCGCGUAGUACAUACGUGCCCAUGAUUUCACAUAUGUCCUGAUAAUAUGUUCGACGUUUUGGAUUUCUAAACCUUUUUAAAUCAGGUUAUUUGGUUUAGGAAAAACAGAAAGUUAGGUCUACAAGUAGUCAUCAUCAUCGGCUCUGAUUUUUUCUCUUAAGAAGUAGCCUACUACGUGAACACAGAAAAAAAGAAGUAGCCUACUACUGUCGAACUGGGGAAGGUAACGAAUUUCUAAUAAUAGACAUAUAUAUCUUCAAAUACACGAGAUCAAACUAGUGCUAUAAUUUUCCUUUCAUUUUCUUUAUGAUGUCACUCCAACAAAAGAAAUACCAGCAAAGCAAACAGCUAUUAUUUGCAAAUACUACCUUGCGCUAGGCAAAUCCUUUGUGUCAUAGCUCAUACUCACUUUAGGGGAACUUUGAGAGUACAUGUCUUGACCAUUACCUUUCAUCGACAUUUCAGAAGUAAGACACUCUUUCAGCUCAAUGACAACUUGGAACAUGUUUGGUCGUUUUUCUGAAGAAGGGUUUGCACAUAACAUAGCCAACUCAAGAGCUCUCCAGGCCGAAUGAGAGUUGUAAUCACCAUGAAGGUUAGGAUCCAUGAUUCCAGUAAUAUCUCCUCUAUUAACACUACAAGAAAACGUAAUUUUAACGAGGAAGUUUAACGAGGAAAAAUAAUCCUCGUAAAAAAACGUUGAUUUUGCGAGGAAAGUACGUUGAGAAAGAAAAGCAUCGUUAUUUCGUCGUAAGCUAACGACAAAAAAUAUUCGUCGUAAAGACGAUGUAAAUUAACGUGGCUUUUACGAGGAAAUAGUUUUUCCUCGUAAAAGCCACGUAAAUUUCGCGAGUGCUUUACGACGAAAUAUUUUACGUGUACUUAACGAGGAAAUUUUGAAUCCACCAACUUGGUAGGUGGCUCACGUUUUUUUUUGGCCAUACAAUUAAUUUUCGUCGUAAUUUCAUAGUAAAAUUACAACUACCAGAUUCGAAAUUUUCUAUAAAUAUGGAUGUUGGAACAUCAUUUUAAACACACCAACAACAAAAAACGUGAAAGAAAAAAAAUGGCUGGCUCUGGGACUAUUUACGAGUUGCGGAAUUGGAUGUAUAUGCAUAGAGAUGCUAACGGGAGAGUGACGAAAGAAUACCUUGCGGGGCUGGAGACAUUUAUGCACCAAGCAGAUUCAACACCGCUCGCCCAAGAAAGUGGUAAGAUGUUCUGUCCUUGUCGGAAAUGCAACAAUUCGAAAUUGGCAAACCGUGAAAAUGUUUGGAAGCAUUUAAUAAAUAGAGGUUUCACGCCAAAUUACUAUAUCUGGUUUCAACAUGGGGAAGGUUAUAAUUAUGAUCAGAAUGAAGCUAGUAGUAGUAAUAGCAAUUUUCAGGAAGAACCGGUUAAUCAUCAUUUGCAUAAUGAACAUAGUUACCAUCAGGAGGAGAUGGUAGAUUAUGAUAGGGUUCAUGAUAUGGUAGCUGAUGCAUUCGUAGCUCAUGAUGAAGAUGAAGAACCUAAUAUAGAUGCAAAAAAGUUUUACGGAAUGUUAAACGCGGCGAAUCAACCACUUUACAGUGGUUGUAGAGAAGGUCUCUCUAAAUUGUCGUUGGCUGCUAGAAUGAUGAAUAUUAAAACUGAUCACAAUCUACCUGAAAGUUGCAUGAACGAAUGGGCGGACUUGUUUAAAGAGUAUUUGCCGGAAGACAAUGUGUCUGCUGAUUCUUAUUAUGAGAUUCAGAAAUUAGUUUAUAGUCUUGGGUUGCCUUCGGAGAUGAUAGAUGUCUGCAUCGACAACUGCAUGAUCUAUUGGGGAGAUGAUGAGAAGCUAGAAGUAUGUCGAUUCUGCAAGAAGCCACGAUUCAAGCCGCAAGGACGGGGACGUAAUAGGGUACCGUACCAAAGGAUGUGGUACCUACCAAUUACAGACAGAUUGAAAAGAUUGUAUCAAUCAGAGCAGACUGCUGCAAAGAUGAGAUGGCAUGCCGAGCAUACUCAGACGGAUGGUGAGAUGACUCAUCCAUCAGAUGCAAGAGCCUGGAAACAUUUCAACAAAGUACAUCCGGAUUUUGCUAGCAAUAGCCGGAAUGUGUAUCUCGGAUUAUGCACAGAUGGAUUUAGUCCGUUCGGAAUGUCAGGGAGACAAUAUUCAUUGUGGCCAGUCUUUCUUACGCCAUACAACCUGCCACCGGAGAUGUGCAUGCAACGGGAGUUGCUAUUCUUGACGAUAUUGAUACCUGGUCCGAACCAUCCAAAAAGGUCCCUGGAUGUUUUCCUACAACCACUGAUAAAAGAGUUGAAGGAUUUGUGGUCAACAGGGGUGAGGACGUAUGAUUGUUCAACGAAGACGAAUUUUACGAUGCGAGCUAUGCUUUUGUGGACCAUAAGUGACUUUCCUGCAUAUGGGAUGUUGUCUGGAUGGACUACACAUGGGAGAUUAGCUUGUCCAUAUUGUAAUGGAACGACAGAUGCGUUUCAACUGAAGAAUGGUAGGAAGACAAGUUGGUUUGAUUGUCAUCGUCGAUUUCUUCCCAUUGGCCAUCCUUACCGAAGAAACAAGAAUUUGUUUAGGCACAAAAGGGUUGUGAGAGACACUUCUCCACCAUAUCUAACUGGAGAACAAAUUGAAGCACAAAUCGACUACUACGGAGCUAACGAAACAGUUCGUUGGGGUGGUAAUUGGCAUGUCCCUCGUAAUAUGCCUGAUUCUUACGGUGUUCAUCACAACUGGCACAAGAAGAGUAUAUUUUGGGAGUUGCCAUAUUGGAAGGAUCUUCUUCUGCGCCACAACCUCGAUGUGAUGCAUAUAGAGAAGAAUUUCUUUGAGAACAUCAUGAAUACAAUAUUGAAUGUCCCAGGGAAGACAAAAGACAACAUAAAAUCGAGGUUGGACUUGCCGGAUAUUUGCUCAAGAAGCGAGUUACAUAUUAAAAGCAAUGGACAAGUUCCCGUUCUGAUAUUCAGACUGUCUUCAGAAAAAAAGUCGGUGUUGUUCAACUGGGUGGCAUCAGAAGUGAAGUUCCCCGAUGGGUAUGUUUCAAAUCUCUCUAGAUGUGUUGAAAAGGGUCAAAAGUUCUCUGGGAUGAAGAGUCAUGAUUGUCAUGUCUUUAUGCAACGACUACUGCCCUUUGCAUUUGCGGAGCUACUUCCAACAAACGUACAUGAAGCACUUGGAGGUUCGUAGUGUUUUAUAUCACAAUAAUUUUAUAACGGUCUAGUUUGCAAAAUAAUAUACGAUUAACAAUGUGUUUAAUUUUUUUUGGAAUAUAAAAGGCAUUGGAGCAUUUUUCAGGGAUCUGAGCACACACACUCUUAAAGAAGAAGUUGUAGAACAGCUUCAGGAGAACAUUCCCAUCUUAUUGUGCAACUUGGAGAAGAUAUUUCCUCCUGGAUUUUUUGACGUCAUGGAGCAUCUAGCUGUCCACCUCCCAUAUGAAGCAUUGCUUCGUGGACCUGUACAUUACGGAUGGAUGUAUCAGUAUGAGCGAGCCAUGAAAUAUUUGAAGGGAAAAGCAAAGAACCUCGCCAAAGUUGAAGGUUCUAUAAUUGCUGGAAGUUUGACGGAAGAAGUUUCUCACUUCACAUCGUACUACUUUGCGUCAAAAGUACGUACCCGUAGAAGAGCUCCAAGAAGAUAUGAUGAUGGUGGAGUUGCGCCAACAUAUGCAGUUGCUGGUGUUCCAGACAUCUUUAGCCAGAUUGGACGACUCGGUGGGAAGUCUAAAGAGGUUUGGUGGUCGAGUGAACAAGACGCUCAUAGUGCACACACCUAUAUUCUACUCAAUUGCGAGGAUCCAUUGAUGCGUUAUUUUGAAAGGUAACAUAUAUGGACACUUCAAAACACAUAUAAUUAAUUAUAUAAUUGCAAGAGAUUCAUUCCUAUGAAAUGUGAUUAAUUUUACAGCCUAUUUGUUUCUCAAGUCGAAGAAACAUUUCCUGGUAUAUCCACAAGUGACGUAGACAAAAGGAAAGAUCAGCACUUCAUUAAGUGGUUGCGGAAUCAGGUAUUAUAACUCAAACUAUUUUUUCAUACAUGAUUUGUAUUUUAAUGUUCUCUUUAUUUUUGCAGGUUGAUUAUGACGACGAUGCAGAUUAUCCUAAGUGGUUACACGAAGUAAUUCAAUCUCCACUUGUAAAGGUCACCACAUCACAGAUGUAUUUCACACGAGGCUACACUUUUCACACAUAUGAGUAUGGUAGACAGCGGGCGACCAGUAACUAUGGAAUAUGUGUGAAAGGGGAAACAGAUUUCUACGGGAUCUUGACGGAGAUUAUUGAAGUCGAAUUUCCAGGGAUACUGAAGCUGAAAUGCGUCAUCUUCAAAUGUGAAUGGUUCGACCCCGUCGUCAACAGAGGUGUUCGGUCUAACAAAUUUGGUGUAGUUGAUGUCAACGGUGGACGUCGGUACAACAAAUUCGAGCCUUUCAUCUUAGCUUCACAAGCAGACCAAGUUAGCUUCCUUCCAUACCCUCGGAUGAGAGAUUCGGGUAUAAAUUGGUUAGCAGUGAUCAAAGUUACACCUCGAGGACGAAUCAUCAGUGGAGAAGAACCACCAUUGCAAGAAGAACAGAUAAAUGAAGUCGAGGAACCUGAACAAGAAGUUGAUGACAUCCUUCUCAUUGAUCCGCAUAAUCACGAAUACGAAGAUCUUACCGAUGAUGCCACAGACGAAGCUGUAGAAGACGAGUUUAAUGAAAAUGAUGAUAUUUCUAGUGAUGACGAGAAUGUCGAUGUAUCCGAUUGAUGUAUUUGAUUUUGUGUAGUUUGUUUUAUGAAUAAGGUAAUGUGAGAGUUUGUUUUAUGAAUAAGGUAAUGUGGGAGUUUGUUUUAUGAAUAAGAAAUUGUGGGAGUUUGUUUUAUAAAUAAGUAAAUGUGGGAAUUGUGGUUUGGAAUGGAAAUAAACAUGGGGUUUGGAAUAUAUGAAGUAGAAGAUAAGGAAUAUGGGGUUUUGGGGUUUGGGGUUUCGGAUUUUAGGGAUUUAAACGUACUGCUCGUUAAUUCCUCGUAAUUUGACGUCGAAUGUACGACGUAAUCGUCGUUUAUUCCACGUAGGACAGAAUCGUCGUAAAGACCUCGUAAGGUAAAUUGACGUAAAUACCACGUAAAGUAAAUGACGAAGGAGGCACUCUUUAAUUCCACGUAGGAUGAUUUCGUCGUAAACACCUCGUAAGGCCACGAGGAUUUUACGACGAAAUUAAAAAAGCGGGACACGCUAAUUCCACGUAAGCCAGAAUCGUCGUAAAAGAGUCGUAAACUAACGACGAUAUUACGACGAAAAUAUUAAAAAUACUAAAAAAAAGAAGAGAAGAAAGAUGCUUGAAUCACAUUUGGCGAGACUUACGUAAGUCUCGACCACAUGAGUUCCAAAUAUCUUCUUCUCUUCUUUUUUUUCCAAAUUUUCUAAAUUGGUGAAAAGCGGGACUUGCUACUUCCUCAUAGUAUAAAAACUAAAAAAAAGAAAAAAAGAAAGAUACUAGAAUUAUAUGUGGCGAGACUUAAGUCUCACCCACAUAAAUUCUAAUAUCUUCUUUUCUUCUUUUUUUUUUCAAAUAUUUCUAAUUUGAAAAGUAUUUUGGUGAGGAGUUUGACUUGUGUGUGUGGGACUUGUGUGUGUGGUUUGAGAAGGAAAGUUGUGGGUAUUUAUAGAAAAUAAAGGCUCGCUAAUUCCUCGUAACUGGUUUACUCGUUAAUUCCACGUAACCCUUUUCGUCGUAAAAACGUCGUUAACGAAAACGCGGGCCUUUGUAUUUCGUCGCUAUUUCGUCGUAACUGAAAACGCGGGCCUCUGUAAUUCCUCGUAAGUUUACGAGGAAAUUACGAGGACAAGUAAUCUUAUAUAUAUCCCGAGCGAGCUCGCUCCGUCUUUCCUCUCCACUUCCUCUCCACUUCCUCCCUAAUUCGUAGCAAUGGUAAGUCUCUCUAAUUCCUCUCUAGUUUGAUUAGUUUAGGAUAGAUUAGGUGGUUAGUAUAGGGAAUUUAGAUAGGUUUACGGAUCUUAUGUUAUUUAGUGUUGAUUAGGUGGAUAAUGUUGGGAAGUAUAUGUUUACGAAAAUUUAAAAAAUUAAAUUUUUUCUCAGGUUCGAAAAGGUAGACUUACUGCCCAUUACAGAGAGAUGUUCGGAGAGCCGGGUAGUCGUUUAGACCCGUCGUCUUCUUCAGCUCCCGGUUCUUCGGGUCAGGAGACUGUCCCCGAGACUCAGUACACUCAGAGAGUCAUUGGAUCUCCUUCUUCUAGUGCACCAUCGGUUCUUCACGUGCCUCCCCAGAUGCCUCCUCCUCCUGUGCCUCCUACGAUGCCGGCACCUCCGAUGCCCGCGGCCGAGAUUCAUCCCGAUUUGAUGGUGCCUCCGAGUGCUCCUUACUCGCAGUACACCGUAGAGGACAUUCUCCGUCUGCCAGGCAGAGAAGGUUUACCAGUCAUCGACCCCGACCGACCGGACGGAACUUUAUGGUAUGUUUCAUUAUUUUUUUAUUCUUUUUAAAUUACUUUAAAAAAUAAUUUAUAUUUUAAAUUUGUAUUUUUCAGGUGGGGGAUUGACGGAUGUCUUGCAUCGGACGUAACCGACACGAUAAAAGGUUACUUCUCCAUGGCACAUCCGAACUGCAAAAUGACGCCCCACUACGUCAGAAAGACGUGGUUCAAAAUUUACGCUGUAAGUUCUAUUAAUUAAAUAUAUAUCUUUAAAUUUUUUUAUUAUUUAUAUAUAUAUUUUUUUCUGAAAAACUAAUUAUAAAUUAUUUUUUCCAACAGCAAAAAUAUAAUUGGGCCUUCGGGAUCACUGAGAGGGUGAGGAAGAAGUUUGAAGCGAAGGCGAAAGUUCGCUUGUUGGACACGGUCUCCAACUGGAAGGGUGACUGGAUCGUGAAGGGGUAUGAGCGUGGCAAACCCGCUGAGCUCACCACGGAUGUCUGGGAUGGCCUCAUCCGAUAUUGGCGUCUUCCUGAUUCCAUUAGAAUCGCCCAGUCUUGCUCUAACUCCCGUAACACAGUCGAUGAGCACGGGAACGGGCCGAUGCUUCACACUACGGGCCAAAAACCCCACGCUGGUGUCCGUUUGGAAAUGGUAAUUUAAAAUUUAAUUAUAUUAAAUUUUUAGUAUAUUUUUAUAUAUAUUCUAAUUAACAACUUUCUUAAAUGUUUUUUUAGGCCAAAGAGACGGGAGAAUUCCCGUCUCUUAUGCAACUUUACGAGAGGACCCACAAGAACAAGGCGGGCCGAUUUAUAGAUGGCAAGUCCGAGCAAAUCUACAACGAUUUGGCUGCUCGGGUUGAAGAACGCCAGACCCAGCUGACCCAACAGUCCACCGAUGGAUUACCCGUCACCUUAUCCACACCUGAAGUGGAUAAGCUUUACGAGGAGGUAAAUUUUCUAAAAUUUUAAUUUUUUUAAAUAUUCAUUUAAUUUAACUUUAAAUUUUUACUAACAAAAUUUAUUUUUUGUUUUUAAGGUUGUCCCUAAAAAAAAGGGACGGACGUUGGGGAUUGGUUCCGUCAACGAUGUUCCGAGAGCGACAUCGUCUUAUGUUCAGCGACGGGAUGAUGAAGUCUCUCAGCUGCGUAGGGAGUCCGAAGAGCUGCGUAGAGAGUCUACUCAGCUGCGUAGAGAUUCUACUCAGCUGCGAUCUCGUAUGGGUGGACUCGAGGGCUUCUUGGACGUUGUAGCGGCCACAAAUCCGGAAUGGGCGACUUUGUUGAGGACCAUGCGACAAGAAAAUCCUAUCCCAGGCCAGUCACCGACCGACGACUCACAUGCCGAGGCGGAUGUUCAGGCGAGGAGUGAUGAAUUCUACGAGGCGAUUAAUUAACGACCACCCAAGUUCUUUUUAAUUUCGGUUCUUGUAUUAUGAAUUCAAAACUUAUUUAUAUAUAAAAUAUUUUGGUUUUGAUUUUUUUAGAAUUUAAUUUUAUUAAUAAUUUAAAUAAUUUAAAUUAUAUUUAUAAUUAUAAUUUUUUAUAUUUCUAUAAAAUAAUGAAACGAAGUAAAUUCGUAGCUAAUUUUGCGGCUUCUUUACGUGGAAGCUUAACGUGGUUUUUACGAGGAAACAUUUACAAGGAAAUAACGUGGAAAUCUAUCAAGGUUUUUACGUUUUCUUUUCGUGGAAAGCUGUCAAAGUAUUUACGUUAAUUUUACGAGUAUUUAUUUACGUGGGUUUUACGAGGAAUGUUUUUCGUGGUAAUUACGAGGAAACUUAGCGACGUCCUUACGAGGAAUCUUUACGUGGUCUUUACGAGGAAAAUUAGCGACGUCCUUACGAGGAAUCUUUACGUGGUCUUUACGACGAAAUAUCCUCCUUCGCUUUUACGACGAAAUUAUUUCCUCGCUAACUUACGACGAAUUAGCGAGGAUAUAUGCGUUACGACAAACAUAUAACGACGAAACGGGUUUCCUCGCUAAUUCGUCGUAACACUGCUUUUACGACGAAUUAGCGAGGAAAACUGCCCUCGUAAAACUUGUGUUUUCUUGUAGUGUAAGCAUAAACGAUGUCCAUUCAGCUAUGUGUGACUUUUCGCGAGUUUGGUCCAACACGUCUUGGUUUGUGAUGAUCUCCAAUAAUACAAUCCCAAAACUAUAAACAUCGCUCAAUUCUGUCAAUCGACCUGUUCUGUAACAUCUAGCAAGGCAAAAAACACAGAGUAAGAUACAUGUGUAUUCAUUUAAACGAUGAAGAUGAACAUUGUCACAAAUUUUACAUUUGUGUGCAUUAUUAUCUUAGACUUUGUUUUAUCACAUCAUGGUUGUACAUAUAUACAAAGUCAUUCUGCAGGUGGAGUAAAUGAGUAAUAAUACUUACUCAGGAUCAAGAUAUCCAGGAGUUCCAGCAACGACUGUCGGAACAUGAUAUUCACCUCCAAGUUGGACCGACCUUGAAAGUCCAAAAUCCGCAAGUUUGGCAGAGAAUCUCUCAUCCAACAAUAUAUUUGUACUUUUGACAUCUCUAUGCACCAUUGGUGGCCGACAUCCAAUAUGUAAGUAUUCUAGUCCUGUAAACAUUUGAAACUCCCCCUUUUACUUAUUUUUGAUUCUAGAAAUCGAAAUUACAUAAUAUAAAUAAUUUUUAGCAAAUUUAUUCAUAUAUUCUAGAGUUUUAAAGCUGUCAACAUGGUCAUUAUAUCAAAUUGGAAUAUAGUGUUUCAUGUAAAAGAGAACAAAUUGAUCAUUACUUUUAAGUAAAAAAUAAGAACUAUUUACUAUUUAUAUUUGAAUCAUUUAUGUCAAUUGAUAACAUGAAACAUGUAAUUAAAAUGACAAGUGAAUGACAUUAUUACGAGAUAGUUCCAACCUAGUGCGGCGUCCAUGGCUAUUUGUAGUCGAGUACUCCACUUCAGAACAGAGCUAUCGUGUUUACCUAUAACAGAUUGUCAAAUCAGCUAACAUGUUAUUUUCCGUAUAAUUUAGCUAAAAAUGCUUAUGUCAUUUAUAUAUUAUAUUUUUCACCUGAUAAAUGAUGUUUUAAGUCUCCGUUGGACAUGUAUUCAUAUACGAGAGCCAAAUGACCUCGUUCGUCGCAGUAUCCGACAAGGCUUACCAAGUUUACGUGGUGAACCCUCAUCAAAAGUUCGACCUAUAGAACAAUGAAAAAAAAUACAUAUAACGCAUUGGUUAACAUAUAUAGAAUUACGACAAUUUCUUACCUCUGCCUUGAACUCUUUAUAGCCUUGUGUUGAUGACUCGGAAAGUAGUUUGACAGCUACUUGUUGUGAACCAUUUAUAUCACCAUGAUAAACAACGCCAAACCCUCCUUCACCAAGUGGUCUUGCCAAGUUUUUUGUUAUUUCCAUCACCUCUGAAUAAGUAAAUUUUUUCUUUUUCACCUCGAUCGAUAUUUCAGAUAUAUUAGUGGAUGUAACAUUCGCACCCAGCUUAAUUGGUAGUGGUUGUAGCACUGUAGAGACCAAUGUUUAGUACAAUAAUAUUAAAUAUAUAAUAUGAUAUGAGUUUUAGCGAAUACCUUCUGAAUUUGAUGAUUUUUUCUUCUUAAACAAAAAAAUAAGAACUAGAACAACUAUAAUGGCCAUGACGGUAGCCGAAGAAACAAAUGCAACAGUUUUUACUGGAAUUUUCUUCUCUGUGACUGUGACACAUAAACCAGAUAAACAACGAUGCUCUCCAUCAACACUAUCCAAAAAAAUGAAGCCGUUAGGAUUCUGAAUGCAUGUGGUGAAGUAUUCAAAAGAAAUGUGGGUGGGUGGAGUUUCUUCUUACAAUAGCUGUAGCCCUUCUUUUUCUCUAUCAAGAAGGGCUUGUGGGAUAAAACCAAUAAGAUUGUUCUUGCUCAAAUUUCUGUUAAACCAGAAGAUAUAUCAUACAUAUAGGUGGACAUGAUCCCAAGAAAUACAAUUACCAAGUAUGUCCGGAAAAGCUUACAUGAGCAUUAAAUACUUCAUAUUAGCCAGAAAUUCUGGAACAUCUCCUGUCAGAUUAUUAUUUGACAAAUCCCUGAAAUUUGUAAGAAUCAAGUCACUGGCAUUUAUGAAUUUCUUGUCUCUUAAGUAAAAUUUAUCAUACUUACAAUUUUUCAAGAUGGGUAAGAUUUUGAAUUUCAGCUGCUAUGGUUCCUUCCAACCCGCUGGAAGAUAAGUUCCUGUGUUACAGAAAAGGUGUGAUGUAGAUAGAAAAAUUUUUCGUGCAAUUCUAAAGAUGUUGUGCUAUAUAAAUAUCUUACAAAUAAGUGAUGCUUGGUGGUGUAGAUAUAUCUGUGCUGUUGCAAUUUAGAUUAUCCCAUAAAAACUUCUGCGGGACGCAUGGAUCUCCUUGCCAUGCGAUUCUGUUCAACCCAUAUAUGGCUUUGAUUUUUCGGAUAGCAACAACUGUCAAGAGUACAACAAUAAAUAUAUAUGUUGUAUUUAGCAUAUAAGCAACGCUUUCAAAAAAAUUAUAUGUAUAUAAUUGUGUAUAUAUGGAACCUUGCAUGGGUAGUAAGCGUACCAUCAUUUUCAUUUGUUUCCAGUUGUGGGAAUUCGACGACUGCGUAAAGUUCGAUGGCAUUGAGAAGAGGUGGGAGAGUAGAGUUUGUAGUUCUUAUCAGCUCUAAGUUGCAUACUCCUCCUUUGCAAGUAACUGGUGUAGUGGAGUAAAUUGUGGUGGUCUUCAAAUAUUCAGGGCUUAUCGUUUUGUCAAACUGUCGUUGGCCGUUCCAAAAAAUAUCAAACUCUCUAGAUUCACUGAUCGGUAAUGAUUGGACCUCAGAGAAGUGGAGGUACAAGUAAAUUUGGUCGUCAGGGAAAUCGAGCUCCUCCGUGAUAUUGAACCGUGCAGUAGCAUUAGCAGGUAUAGCUGCGGUUUUGAGAACAUUCCGUGGCACAAGAAAACCAUUGGAGUUGUUUGCUUCGAGGGUGGUGGAAAUCUGCGUCCAUUCUGGAUCAAACUUUGGUUCCCAUAUUCUGUCGUUGACGUCAUUUGGGUACCUGUGAUUCAUUAAAUAUUUUAUUAUUACUUAUCAACCAGGUAAACUCAAAUGAGGAAAAAAAACAACUUAAUAUCAUCUUAAAGCGACUUACGAUAGAAUGGUAUCGGAACUGGUAAGAAAGUAUCGCUUCAAACUCUUCAGGGAACCAGAUUCAGUGAUGUAAAGAUCAUUCGCUAGCGGCCUUAGUUCUACAGAUGUAAUCAUUGGCGUAGUCGUGCCUGUCUUAACAAGACACAAGUCCAAGGAAUUUGAUCUUGGAAUGUAAAUGAUCUCCUCGGAUUGACCGCUUAUCCUAUUCUCUAGGUCUAUCGUUACCCAAUAGUUAGGACCAACGUAUAAGUCAUACUUAGGAGUAAUAUUAAGAGCGUCAUAAUUUCCAUAUAGAGCUGUAACUCUCAUCAGAUAGUUGGUCCCUUGCUUCACACUAAGAUUGUAACAGUUGCGUAUUCCAUCUGGAAAGUAUCUAAGAGUCACGUACGACUUUAGUGUCUUGGGUAGGCUUGCAUCAAUCUUCCCAAUCUUUCCACUUUGGAUGAAGCCCGAGUCUGAUGAGUACCAUAGUCCAGUAUCUGGCUCGAUAUAUGGUGACGCUUCACUCGGGGGUAAACCACAAUCCAAACUGAUGAACCCUAUUCGAUAGCAUCAUCAGUUAAUGGUCACUUCAACUAUUCGAGUGUUUCACACUUUUUGCUUCUAAAUUUUGUUCACCUUAAGAUUUUUCUUGUUCUAUUGAUUCCACUAUUCCAUGAUUCAACAUACCAGUCAAGCUUUGAGUUAAAAAUGCUAAUCUUCUAUGGUUUUGUGGUAUUUACUUUAACAAAGACCUAGUAUUGUAACUGCUAAUUGUAUCCUUGUAGUUGAAUCCCUUCCAUGGUUCCAUAAUCCAUAUAAAUUCCCUUUCUCUUAAACCGUACCAUCACUCCACUAGUUUGUAAGUUAGAAACGUUUCAAACUGUGCAAAUCUAUCAUAUGAUUAUUUCUUUUGUUAUAGUAAUCUAAGAUAAUCAUUGUUGUGCUAAAAGUGACAAUUUUCUACUCUUUUUCUUUUCAACCACAUGCAUUGUGCAGAUUUUAGUUCAGGUAAUAGUAAUUUUGUACUGUGAAAAUUCUAACGUAUCUCAAAAAAAAAGAUACAUACCUUCUUGAUCUUCAGCUCGAGAAAGGUGAAUAACAGCGAACGUCGCAAUAAGUGCGACCAACAAAAUCUCAUGGGAAUUCUCCAUAUGCUCUUGCUUUCCAAGAAAAAAAAAGAAAGUCAGAAAAGUUCUUAACUGUCGAUAUUUCAAGACAAUCCCCUAAAAUCGUGCGGACAUGUCAUAGUUUCCUCUUUCCACAAAAGAAGUUUUACUUGACGAAGGAGAUAUAUGAUCCGUUCUGUAGAGGGGAAACGAAUGUAUGUUAUUUAAUUUUCUUGGUCAGAAAAUGCUUAACGUGUCUUGAAUUUCGAUUAUUAAAGAACCUACCAAUUGAAAGUAAUAUUUUUUAGCAACGAACAUGGGCAGUGGUGAAAUGCACAGACAGGUAUGGUUUCAAGUCGUCGUUGACUUAAAUUUGUCCGAUGUUAAAUCUGUUUAGAGCAUCAGAGGUUUCAAGUAGAGGGUGUCCACUCCGGUUUUAUCUUGGCUUAAGUUUGACUUUUAUGUAAAUGUGUUGCAUUAUUAAGAGCAUCAUUAUCAGUUAAGAAAUUGUGAGAGCUUCUUAGGAAUAUAAAAAUAUUUUGUGUACAGAUCAGCUAUUUAAUCAAUUUAAAUCAAAAAUAAUAUAAAACUUGUAAUACAAGGAAAGUCUAAACAACGAACGCUUUUUCCUUUGAAAGACUGGUUUUUCUGUCUUCUACUUUAUUUUAUUUUGUUUCUUUCUUAUUUUUGAUUAUUUUAUAUUUUAAUAUCUGACAAAUUCAGCUAGAUAAAGCAACGUAGGUGUUCUCAAGAUAUGUUAGCAUUUUGACAUACAGAUUUCAUUUGUUUGCUAGUUUAUAAAUGCAUUUCGAAUGUGCAUAAGGCAUGCAUACUGAGUCAAUUAUUUAUUCCUUAUCUCGGUGCCGCAGUCACUAGAAGGGAUGAAAGUUGAAUAAAAUAUCCAUUGAAUAUAUUAACAUCUUUUACUUGACUAUACAGAGUUAUUUAUCCUUGACUAAUAUGAUGCAGAUAAAAGUUUAUAAGUGCUUACCGCAGUGUGAUCCAAGUGUAUUCUAUGAAUGUCACAAAGUAUUUAUGUUGUUUUUUAGAUGUACAUGGAGAAAUCCACAAAUCAAAACAAUUUUCAUAGAUAGUAAUAGAUUUAGGAAAUAUCGACUUGCAAUGUUUUCAUAAGAUAUAAACUUCACGUUCAUUCUUAAAAGAAAUAAUAGGCAACAUCAUGUUUAAGACAUGAGAAUGAGGAUGACCUAGUCUAGCAUACUUCUUUACAGAAAUCAAAAAUAGAAUUUAAAACAAUAGAUAAAUCAGAUGCAAGCUUGGUGUCUUUAAGUAAGUUCAAGUCUAUUUUGGUUUAUACUUUUUCCAAGCAACCUACUAGAAUCAAUAUCCUUAAAGUAGACAUCAUAAUAGCAAUUUAAAUCAGUAGUUACUCUUUUAACAUAUAACAGGUUUGAGGUGAAAGUAGGCAUAUAAAAAGCUUUAGAGUCUUUAUCAAACAAUCUAAGAUCACUUAUUCCUUUAAUUGGUACACUUUUUCCAUUAGCUAUCAUGACAUUUUCUAAAGCAGGGACUAUGUUACUAAUCAAAUUUAGAUCACUGACCAUAUGGUGACUACCUUCAGAGUAUAUAACUAAAGGUUUUGUCAAUCUAGAACUAGUUACAACAUUCACAGCAGUAUCACAAGUUGAAGCAUUUAAAAAGAUACAAAAAUUGUUACUAGAGUUUUCCUUGAGAACUUUGUUGAGAGCAUCAAGGUCAGACCUCUUGAUGGUUUCAUUUUGAGUGGUCCUCAAUCUGGAGUAACUUCUCGAUGGUUCACUCCUUUCACCAGAAAAGUGUGCCCUUGCAUCAUUUUUUGGUGUUCUUAACUUUUGAGGUUUGAGGUAAGUGUGUAGUAUCCAACACUUGUCUUUGUCAUACCUCUUCUUCUUGCGAUGAUCACAAACUCAUAUUUAUUGUCUUCAUGUUUGUAGGCGUCAUUUUUGCAACACCCUCAGCUUGAUUUGCCAACAUCAGUUCUUCUUGCCUCCAAAGAGACCCACUGAACCUUGCUCUUUCUGGAUUUAUGCACAUACUUCUUCUAAAGUUGGUAACUUCUCUGCCUUUAACAUGUGCUUGAUCAAGUCAUUGUAACCUGACCUUGAGGUUGAUUGUUUGCAGUUUUUGUUUUAGUUUUUGGUUUUUGGUUUUGUAAAAACUAUUUUUUAUCCAAUCAAGUUUUUAGCUUUUAGUUUUUGUUUUUGUAAAAACCAUUUCACUUGCCAAUCAAGUUUUUUAACAAAUAGAUUCCCUAAAUUUUAGGGAAACUAGUUUUUCAAAAUUUCAACCAAUUUGUGAAGAAAAGCCAAAAACCAACUUUUGUGGGUUUUCAAUAUAAAAACGAUUUAUUUUUAUUUUUAUAAAAUACUAUAUUUUAAUUAAUUAAUAAUUAAGUAAAAAAUGUUUUCAUAAAGAUAAAAUUCCCAUACAAUUUUUUUAUCAUUUAACAUUAAUGUAAAAUAAUUUAUGUGUUUCAUAUAUGUAAAUAAAUAUAGAUAAUUUUAGUAUUAGUUGUAACCAAUUACUUAUUAAUAUCUAUAAAUAAAUUAUUGAAUAAUUUAAUUAUAAAUACUAAACAACAACUAAAAAUUAUAAAUUUAAAAUAUUUUAUUAAUACAAUAUAUUAUAUUAAUUUGAAAAAAUAGCCAUUCAAGUUCUAAAAAAUGAAAAAUAUUUUAUGUAAUAAAAUUUAUAAAUAGUUUCAAAAUUUUAAAAUAUUUUAAUUUUAAUAACUUAUAGAUAUUUUAUUAAUUAUAUUUAAGUAUAACACUUAAAAAUAAAAUAAUUUAAUACAUGGUAAUGUUUUUAUUUUAAAUAACAACCACUAUAUUUUGAUAAAUUUUAAUGGUAAUUUUUAAAAAAAAUAUUAUUUUAAAACAAUGUAUUGCUUAUUUUAUAAGAAAAACUAAGAAUACAGCAAAACCAAAAUCUAAAAACCAAAAACCAAAAGCUGAAAAUCAAAAACCAAAAUCUAAAAGCUGAAAACCAAAAACCAAAAUCUAAAAUCAAAAUCUAAAUCUAAAAACCAAAAACUAAAACCAGAAACUAAUGGAAACAAUCAUCACCCUUGUCUUGCUCAUGCCUCUCAUUCAACACUCUAGGCUCAACAGUACACGGCCUCAGCAAUUCCAAAUCAGCCCACAAGGCCUUGAACUUGCCAAAAUGCUUGUUGAAAUAUGUUUUUUCUUGACCGGGGGGGGGGGGGUGGGGUGUUGAUAGCUCUCUUAACUUCAAACACUUUGCUCUUAUUUGAAUUAUACACCUUUUGAAGAGUGUUCCAUAACUCUUUGGAAGUUUCACAGUAGGAGUAAGCUUCCAGGAUUGAUGUCUCAAGGCUACUUUAAAUGAUGGACAACGCCAUGAGAUCCUCCUGAUCCCAUUUUCCAUCGCCAGCCAACACCACUUCUUUACCAUUCUCUCCUAGGCUGGUUUUCUUUGAAGGUUUUGUCAUCUGUGACAUAUGAUCAGAGUCCUCUUCCUCUUAAAGAAGUUUUGACCAGUCUUGACCACAAGAGAUAGUUAACUCCCUUGAGAAUGACUGGAAUCACCACCUUUGAGUUUUUCAUUUUCGAGCAACUAGUAUCCAGUGGAUGAACGAAAGUUUCAAAAUUGAGAAAUGAAAAAUCAGAGUAAAAGAAACAAAAUUUGCAGAAGUAAUAGAAGGGAGUGAUGAAAAUAAGGUCUCAAGAUCUGAGAUGCUCUGAUACCAUGUAAAAUUUGAUAGAAUUAUGAGAGUUUAAAUGAAGAACAUGAAGAACUUGCAAAAACAAUAAACAAAGAUGAGAACUUUCAAUAGAAAGAAAAAGAGAAUGAGGAAAGAUGAUUUCCUUAAUGUUUACAAUGGUGACUAGAAGAUUAUUAGUAUGUUUAUCUUUUCAGGACAACCAAAACAAUCGAAGUUACCGAGUUACUGUUUGCCAAAUUACUGUUUGCCAAAUUACUGUUCACCAAGUUACUGUUUAUUUUAAUUUCUUGAACUCUUUUGAAUUCUCUUGAAUUUUUUUCUCUUGUUAUUUAUUACUUCAUGUCAACAAAAUGAGGCUGAGACAUAGAUCAUGCUUGUGGUACAAACUGAAGAGGCUUGAUAUCUCAAGACAAAUAACUUUUCCAUGUUUUUUCUUCAGAUUUUCAUGACAGCAUUAUUCAGAAAUACAGGAAAUACACCGGUGGAACAGAGUCUAAGCACUGACUUGUGCUCUGCUUUUCAUUAAGCGCUAAUAUUUGACAAAGCAUUAUUAACUUGAGCUUUUUCUGCCUUUUGGGCAUAAAUGGUACGUAUUAAAACUUAGCACUUUUUACCUUCUACAAGGUAUUUAAAUAGGUGAGAGAUAAGGUUUCACAACGUGAUUAACUUAAGAGAAUAAAUACAACAGAAUUACUCUAUCUAAGUUAGAAGAAACCUUGACAUACGUAAUCUAAUAUUUUAUAAUUUCCACAUAUGCAUAUAUAGAUGAAUCGGUGAAAGUCAUCCUAGAUUUUGACUCAGAAGAGUGAACGGAUUUCGUAAUGCGCGCAAGAGGGAUAGGAGGAGAGCUUUUUCUUAAUAAAUAACUUCAGAAAAUAGAGUUGACAAAGUAUACACGUUAAGUUGAGAAAACCUCUCAAAUUUUUCUCCUGACUUGGUAAUUCUUUAAAAUAAAAUAAAAAUAUAUAAUGAUAAAGAUAAUUAAAAAGAUAUAUAUAUCAAACAUCCUAAACCUAAACCAAAUGUUCACAAAACUGUUCACACAAGAAGUUUGAAGUACCCACAAAAAAAAAGCUUUAAUGGCCUCCAAAUGCAUAGACAAUGGUGUAAAGAACGAAACCGACGUCCUCUCCGUCGAGAAGGUGACGAGUUACACCAACCUCCACAAGUGGCCGAUGGCAGAGGUGGAGUUUGUUCAGUCAAUCAGACACGGCAAUAGCCAGCAUCAUACCAUGGUGCUGAACAACAUUUCUUGUAGGCAAAUGUACCUCAGAAGCUACACUUUCACUAGAAAAGAAAAUGAAGGCGAAGGUGGUCGAGGUGGCGGUAAGACCGGUGACCAGUGGAACAGAGGAGAGAAAAAGAAGUCUGCAGAGACAACGAAGAAAGGUAUGAGGAAAAAGAGCAAAGCAACACCUUGUAGGGGGUUUGUUUUGAGGCUCUUAUGGAAGUGUUUUUCUUGUACUUCCUCUACUAAAGUUAAUAUUGAUAGCUCUCUUAACUUCAAACACUUUGCUCUUAUUUGAAUUAUACACCUUUUGAAGAGUGUUCCAUAACUCUUUGGAAGUUUCACAGUAGGAGUAAGCUUCCAGGAUUGAUGUCUCAAGGCUACUUUAAAUGAUGGACAACGCCAUGAGAUCCUCCUGAUCCCAUUUUCCAUCGCCAGCCAACACCACUUCUUUACCAUUCUCUCCUAGGCUGGUUUUCUUUGAAGGUUUUGUCAUCUGUGACAUAUGAUCAGAGUCCUCUUCCUCUUAAAGAAGUUUUGACCAGUCUUGACCACAAGAGAUAGUUAACUCCCUUGAGAAUGACUGGAAUCACCACCUUUGAGUUUUUCAUUUUCGAGCAACUAGUAUCCAGUGGAUGAACGAAAGUUUCAAAAUUGAGAAAUGAAAAAUCAGAGUAAAAGAAACAAAAUUUGCAGAAGUAAUAGAAGGGAGUGAUGAAAAUAAGGUCUCAAGAUCUGAGAUGCUCUGAUACCAUGUAAAAUUUGAUAGAAUUAUGAGAGUUUAAAUGAAGAACAUGAAGAACUUGCAAAAACAAUAAACAAAGAUGAGAACUUUCAAUAGAAAGAAAAAGAGAAUGAGGAAAGAUGAUUUCCUUAAUGUUUACAAUGGUGACUAGAAGAUUAUUAGUAUGUUUAUCUUUUCAGGACAACCAAAACAAUCGAAGUUACCGAGUUACUGUUUGCCAAAUUACUGUUUGCCAAAUUACUGUUCACCAAGUUACUGUUUAUUUUAAUUUCUUGAACUCUUUUGAAUUCUCUUGAAUUUUUUUCUCUUGUUAUUUAUUACUUCAUGUCAACAAAAUGAGGCUGAGACAUAGAUCAUGCUUGUGGUACAAACUGAAGAGGCUUGAUAUCUCAAGACAAAUAACUUUUCCAUGUUUUUUCUUCAGAUUUUCAUGACAGCAUUAUUCAGAAAUACAGGAAAUACACCGGUGGAACAGAGUCUAAGCACUGACUUGUGCUCUGCUUUUCAUUAAGCGCUAAUAUUUGACAAAGCAUUAUUAACUUGAGCUUUUUCUGCCUUUUGGGCAUAAAUGGUACGUAUUAAAACUUAGCACUUUUUACCUUCUACAAGGUAUUUAAAUAGGUGAGAGAUAAGGUUUCACAACGUGAUUAACUUAAGAGAAUAAAUACAACAGAAUUACUCUAUCUAAGUUAGAAGAAACCUUGACAUACGUAAUCUAAUAUUUUAUAAUUUCCACAUAUGCAUAUAUAGAUGAAUCGGUGAAAGUCAUCCUAGAUUUUGACUCAGAAGAGUGAACGGAUUUCGUAAUGCGCGCAAGAGGGAUAGGAGGAGAGCUUUUUCUUAAUAAAUAACUUCAGAAAAUAGAGUUGACAAAGUAUACACGUUAAGUUGAGAAAACCUCUCAAAUUUUUCUCCUGACUUGGUAAUUCUUUAAAAUAAAAUAAAAAUAUAUAAUGAUAAAGAUAAUUAAAAAGAUAUAUAUAUCAAACAUCCUAAACCUAAACCAAAUGUUCACAAAACUGUUCACACAAGAAGUUUGAAGUACCCACAAAAAAAAAGCUUUAAUGGCCUCCAAAUGCAUAGACAAUGGUGUAAAGAACGAAACCGACGUCCUCUCCGUCGAGAAGGUGACGAGUUACACCAACCUCCACAAGUGGCCGAUGGCAGAGGUGGAGUUUGUUCAGUCAAUCAGACACGGCAAUAGCCAGCAUCAUACCAUGGUGCUGAACAACAUUUCUUGUAGGCAAAUGUACCUCAGAAGCUACACUUUCACUAGAAAAGAAAAUGAAGGCGAAGGUGGUCGAGGUGGCGGUAAGACCGGUGACCAGUGGAACAGAGGAGAGAAAAAGAAGUCUGCAGAGACAACGAAGAAAGGUAUGAGGAAAAAGAGCAAAGCAACACCUUGUAGGGGGUUUGUUUUGAGGCUCUUAUGGAAGUGUUUUUCUUGUACUUCCUCUACUAAAGUUAAUAUUGAUCCGUGAAGAAAAAUCAUCGUUUGAGAUCUAUGAGAGUUAAUAAAACAAAAUAAACUAUGCAAGUUUGUAAUUGAUGGGUCUUGUUUAUCAGUGUAAGUUUGAAACAGUGGUUCAAGAAUAAAUCGUUGACCAGAGUUUGUUUAUUUAUGAACUGGAGAAAGAAACAGGGGUUCAAGAAAUGGCCCUGGUGAAGAAAGAAAUAAUUCAGUAUAACUGGAACAAUACCGCUGGAAGAUGAAACCUCAAAAUGAUUUAAGAAGAGAAGUAAAACAAAAACUAAACCCAAACGAGAACAUGUAAAAGUAAUAAAACUUCUAAACUUAAAGAGUACAAUUGAAGCAACAAGAGAGUUAAAACAUAAUACUUAGAAACAAAGAACAAACAAAUAUCAGACAACUUCAGAAUAUCAUACAAACUCAUGAGGAGGGAAGAGAGGAUAAAAUAGGAAACUUCUUCAAAAAUACACAUAAGAAACAGCUCGAGCAGACAAAAGACCUGAUGCUUUCUUUCCUCAUUACUACAUGUUUUGCUUCCUUUCCUGUUACAAUAUCAGAACUUUUCGCGCUGUUUUACGGGCAUUAUCACUGUUCCCACCCUCUCAUCAUCUUCCUUCGGAUUUCACAAGUUGAGAGAACACUUUACUCAUGGAAACACCAGAGAGAUCAUCAAUGCUCGAUUCCUCAAAUCGUCCCGUGGUUCCCGGAACGUUAACACUCGUGUCCCCUUGACUGAAGUUGUUGAUCUGCGGAGGCAACUCUCCAAUCAUAUUCGUGCUGUUAUCUUCCGGUUCACCGUCUAUGACAGCUUCUUGUAGCUGCAGAGCGUAUUCAAGAUUCCACAAGACAUCUCCCAUAGACGGCCUAUCGACUCCAUAAUCAGCCAAACAUUUCUCACCAGUCUCUGCAAACUUCCUCAACGAAUCUGGUCUGAUGUUACCGCGAAGCGACUGGUCGAUGAUCUGAUCUAACUGCCCUUUCUUCUGCCAUUUCAUGGCCCAUUCCGCAAGAUUCACCAUCUCUCUCGGAAGCGUCGGGUCUAUAACAGGUCUAGCACAAAGAACCUCGAAGAGAACCACACCAAAGGAGUAGACAUCUGAUUUCUCAGUGAGCUGUUGCCUUCUGAAGUACUCGGGGUCGAGAUACCCGAAACUACCUUUCACAGCAGUACUCACAUGAGUCUGAUCAAGCUCAGGUCCGGUCUUAGACAGUCCGAAAUCCGCAACUUUGGCCAUGAAGUUCUCGUCGAGCAAUAUGUUUGCGGAUUUCACGUCUCUGUGAAUGACAGGUUUCGAGUCACCAGUGUGAAGGUAAUGCAAUCCUCUAGCCGCACCAAUGCAGAUCUCAAGCCGCUGUUUCCACGUCAAGCUAGGAAGACCCGAGCCGUAGAGAUGACUCUUCACCGUUCCAUUCUCCAUAUACUCAUAAACCAGUAUCAUCUCGUUGUUCUCAUCACAGUAACCAAUCAGAGAAACCAAAUGGCGGUGACGGAACUGCGACAACAUCUCGAUCUCUGUCCUGAACUCCGCAAGCCCUUGCUGAGAUUUCGGGUUCCCUCUUUUCACAGCUACUUUCGUGCCGUCGUUAAGCUCUCCUUUGUAGACUUUACCGAAACCUCCAACACCGAUGUUGCGGCUCUCAUCGAAGUUGUUUGUAGCGUCUUUAACCGUUGCAAAGGGGAUACGGUAGUUGGCAUUGGUUGUUAUACUUGUAAGCGUAGUUCCAUACGACACUUUGCUUCCCACCGACAUUCCGUUUAUCGAAAACGGCAUCCACGUCUUGGAAUGACCGUCUUGGCCGCGCUUCCUCUUCUUACACAACACAAAACAACCACCUCCCAAGAGGACUAACGCGAGCAACGGACCAACGGUUGCACCGACAAUCAAUCCCACACUCUUCUGCUUGGUACCCGAACUACUACUACCUGGAACAAAUGUCCCGGCGCUGAGCUGGCCUCGAGAGUUAUUCAUCUUCAUGAUCUCCAACCCGUUCACAAUACCAUCGGGAUAAUCGGUGUGGACAUUCGAUGGACCGACGCUAACGCGGAUUUUGUUAGAACCUUUGGGCGAGGGCGUGACGAAGUCCAUGUUGUAUGCACCAGCCAGUGUGUUCACAUAAGUGCUGAGAUCAACGUCCAUGACAGCGAGCAUUGAGUCGACGUAAACAUUGAAGUAGAGCUGGUUGAGAGCUAAGCUCACGAUGUCGCAGAAAUGGAAGCGUAAAUAGUACUGAAAGCCAGGGUCCACGUCGAACUCCCACGUGACAUUGAAAUUGCUAGUAGGGUCGCCUGAGCUAUUAUUCAUCUCAGUGCAAGUACCAUACACGCUGCUCGGCGCAGUCUCCUCUGUUGCAAACCCUGGAACAAAUUUAACCGACAGAAUCUUAGACACCGUGUUGGCUAGAUUCUUGGAAAGCAGAAAGUCCGAAUCAGGCUGCCAAGUUCUUGUAAGAGUGUCGUUGUUAGGCGUAACGAGCGAGCCCCCCAUGUUCAAUCUGUGAACUGUCUCGAAAGCCUGCGUUGACAAGCUCUGUUGAAACAUCCCUGAGCCGCCUACGAGCCUCGGGGGAGGAGAAGAAGCGAUCAAUGCGUCGGGAACGGAUAUAACCUCAAUAGCGUUCACAAAGGCAAACGAAGUAGCAGAGGGAGUAAACGUGAGGAGGAGAUCAUCGGUGUCUACAUUCAAAGAGUACUCUUUUACAACUUUGGAGCCGUUGACUGUGUACUCGCUCAAGAGCACAUGGGUCUGCGUUGAAACCGCGAACUUGGCGGAACCCAUUUGGUAGCUUUGGUAAGUGAAUGGAUUGAAAUGGAGGCGGACCCAGUGGCGGCCACGAGCGACGGAGAAUUUGUAGGUAGCGACUCCGGUGAAGACUCUCGCCGUCUGGUAAACGUCGGAGCUGCUGCUUUGACUCGCGAGGAUCUCGGGUUUGGUAGAAGAGGUGAGUAGGUUGGAGGCGAGCUUAUCGGACAUGAAGACUCGGUCCAUGAGUGUCGAAUUGGCCGGUGAGCCGCAGUUGAUCAAGUAAUUAUCUUGAGGUGUGAAUCCAUGGCAGAUGCAAAUCAAGCACGUCAUCGUUGAAACGAAGAUGAACUUUUCAACACCCAUCUUUGACCCAACAAAGAAACUGUAUAAUAGAUCCGGUGAAAUAUUCAAUCAGAUAGAUUUGCAUACGAACUAGAACCACAGCAAAAAAAAAUGGCAACUUUCUAAGAUCCCCAAAGCAUAAAUUAAGACAUAACACGAUAGAAACUACCUUUUUUAAGACAAGGGAUUGAGGAGAGAUAACGGUCCCAUGAAAGGGCUAGAGUUCAGGAUCAGAGAGCUUAAUCAAUAGAUCAAGAAACCGAAAACUCAGAUUUUGAGCUCUUUUUUUUAAUAAUAUAAUAUGAAAAACUGUACUCGAGAAAAGAGAGUAGUUUCCAGCGAUGAACAGACUGGUAACAGGAGAGGUUUGAUUCUUUAUGAACUCAUGAGUAUAUUUUUAUUUAUUUCUUUACGAGUAAGAAGAUGGGAGAAUUAAAAUUGUCAACAGAUUCAAUUUUCUCUGCCUGUAUUUGUAUUAAUGGAUGAGAAAGAAGAAAAAUAUGGAAUUUCAAGAAAAUGAUUAGAAACGUAAAAUAUUCGUCGCAAUUAAUAUGUCUGUCUAUGAGAAAGCGGUUGUUGGUCAUGGAUAAUUGUUUUUAAUAUGCAAAAUAUGUUAAAAUACAGAGUCCAGAUAUUUUUAAAUAUAUUUAUUUUCAAAGUGUUGCGAAUUUGUGUGUUUUCAUUUUUGUUUUCAGGUGUUUACUGGUCGUGUUUUGCAACAACAAAGUCAACUUUUUAUCGGGAUUUUUGUACAUUUUGACAUCUAAUCUAUUAACACAGGAGUACAAAUAAAUACUAACCUUUAAUUUUUCAAAUAAUUAUAAUUAGGUAUUUUAUCCGCACAUGCGGACAUAAUCAUCUUACGAAUACUUAUUAUUUUAUGUCUUAUUACUCCAAAAAUUGGCAUUAUAAAACUCUAAUUGGUGAACAUGUUGAAGGAAAAAUAUUACGGUGAAUUCUUUGUUCCUCAAAAUUUAUACUAGUUAUGUUGAAAUUUUAGUCAACUUAUUGAAAGGUAGAUCCCACUUUUUUUUUCUUCUAAAUUCCCCAUGGAUGUAUGAAUUUAUAAGAAAAAAAAUUUCUAUGCAAUUUUGAUAAAGAACAAAUUGAACAAAAAUUCGUAUUUUAUUUUAUUUUUUCAAUACCUCAAAUGAAAUUUUAUUUUAUUUUUAUUAUUUUUCAUUUUUUCUUUCUUCUAAUGGUCACCAACAGAAGCUAUAGUGUUUCACGGAUUAAACUUAAACUUGUUUAAACUAAAAACAAGAAAAUUUGUUUUGAACUCAGUCACAAGUUAAGUUAUUAUUUAUGGUUUUAAAUAGUUAAAUCAAACAUCAAAUUAUUUAUAUAUGUCAAACAAACAUUCAUCAAACUAUGUACUUAUUAUUGUGUUAAAAGUUUUAAAACAUUCUUAUAUUAGAAAUAGUUUAGAAAAUAUAUUUUAUAUAACUAUUUUUGUUUGACUAAUAUUUAAUUAUAAACUGUUUUAUAUCUUAGUUUUUUUAACUUUAUAAUAAAAAUAUUGUUUUCAGAUAGCAACACAAUAUAUAUAAGAAUUCUCUUAAUUUUUAAAUAUAUUUUCACAAUUUUAUUAUAUAAGUUUAUAAUUAAUUAUUUAAUAUAACAUAUAAAUUUAAUAUUAUUAAAAUAAAAUGCGUGUUUUAUUAUAUACAAAAUUCAUCACGAGUGUUUUGAAAAUUAUUAAUACUCAGUUAAAAACUAAUAAUAAAUCAAUGACCUAUAUAAAAGCUUAAAACCUAAUAAAAUAUGACAAAUAAGAAAAUAUGAAUUUUAAUAUAACAUAUAGUUUUUAACUAUAUAUAAAAUUCAUUACGGAUAUUUUUAUAAAUUAAUAAAUUAGUGAUUCAGCUAAAAAAUUAUUAAUAAAUCAAUGACUAAGCUAAAACCUAAUAAAAACAUGACAAGUAAGCAAAAUUGACUAAAAUCAUGGAAAACAUGACAAAUAAGCAAAAUCAAAAUAAUUAUAUAUCUAGUUACAUAUUUUAUAGUUAUAUUAUUUAAAUUAAUAAAUUAUGGACUCAACUAAAAACUACUAAUAAAUUAAUGACUCAACUUAAACCUAAUUAAAACAUGACAAAUAAAUAAAAUUACCUAAAAUCAUGGAAAUCAUGACAAAUAAGCUAAAUAACUUCAUAAAUAAUAGUAUAGAUCAUAUGCCAUUAAUCAAAACAGAGUAGUUUUAUACUUUCUCUGAACCAUUAUUUUCCUAACAAUUACACCAUAAAGUCACCGAAUAUAUUUUUGGGAUUAUUAAACCUUUGGCCCAAUUUACAAUCACUAUUUAUAUUUUGUUUGUUAAACACCAAACCGUGGAAACCUAUGACCAGUUAUAUUAUGUCACAAUCACUAUCCUCACCUCGAAACUUUCUUAAGCAUGAUAUAAUCAAAUAUUAUUAUGUAGAAGAAGGUCGGAUAUCAGUAAAAUUAAAAUGUUGUAUAUCAUUUUCAUUAUGCAGACCAACAUUGUGUAUAUUAAUCUAAUCAAUGUAUGGUUUAGCGAUUAAAAGAGUUAAACUGAUUUAUGAUUAUAUUAGUAUUAUUAAAAAUUAGAUUAUAUUUUAUCUGAGUACAAAAUCGAAACUAAUUAUGUUUUUUUUUCCUUGGAAAAGUAAAUAAUAUUUCAAAAACAAUUCCUAUAACCACGCAAUGACAAUUAACUGCAUAAAAUCUAAACUAAAUAUUCAUUUUUCAAAAAAUAAACAACAUCAAAACUUUCUAUCUUUUUUUUACGCAGUCACCAUAUCGAAAAAAAGAUAUCAAUUAACUAACACAAUCAUCAGUUUCUGUUUUAAAAACUUGCACAACAAGUAUUCUUUAGAAUUUAAGACGUAUAUUUAGUAAAUAAAAAAAAUAUAUAUAUAUAUAUAUAUUCGUUUAAUUUUAUAACUACCCUUGCCAAAACCAAGUAUAUAUAUCUCAUCUAUCUUUCGUCAAAAAAAUAUCAAAGCAAACAAAAAACAUAAACAUGUCUAAGCUGACGACUUUUGCUGCUCUCACAAAACUAAGACCUUACAAAAACAAUUGGCGUAGUCAAGUGGAACAUUUACAUUUAUGGAAGCAAAACCCACCUUCUGGAAGUGAAUCCUUCGAGAUGAUUUUAGCAGAUGAAUAGGUAUCUUUUUGUUUAUAGAUUUUUCAAUUCAUUAUAUUACAUAUUUUUAUUUAAAUCUAAUAUGACCGUGUGUGUUUUUAGGGUAACAAGAUCCAUUGUUGUUGGUCUAUCUUUCUCUACAACAGAGUAGUUGGUCUAUAUUACUAAUACUUCAUGCAUGAAAAGUAAUAAAGAUUUCUAAUAUCCUAUGUGCUUUGAACAAUAAUAUUUAUAAAUCUACCAUUUAAACAGAGCUGAAACAGUCAAUAUCCUAUAUGCUCAGAAUAAUAAUAUUUACAAACCUAGCACUUAAAUAGAGCUGAGACAAUCAAGUCAAUCCUACUCCUCUAAUGAAAAAUCGUCUAUUAGCUUCUCAUUUCUUAAGACCUUCUACAAUCAAUCCAAUUUGUUACUCAUUCCAUCAUGUUCCUGGCUAAAUAAAAUUGAAUUAAAAUCAUUCUGCUAAAGAAACCAAAGGAAAUUUUUUACCACACUUUUACAGAUCAAGGGCUUGCAAGGGGGUUUUCCUUGUUUUUUCUAAACUGAAGCCAGGCUCUGUCUAUCCGAUUGAAAAAUAUUGGUAUUCCAUACCUUAGCGAGUCUCUGAAAAAUAAAAAAUAAAAAUAAAAGAAUGUAGAUUAGAAGAUACUAAUCUUAAAAACUCAAAUAAACCCCAAUCAAGAAACUCUAACCUUUAUACCAAACGCUGAAAUUAAUAAUAGAUAUAUCUUCUACAGUUGUUAGACUGAAGACAUUAACUUAUUUUCAUUUUUUAGAAAGCAAGCGCAAGGCAUCCGUUGGCUGCAGAGAAACAUAUAAGAAUAUAGAAGGUCCAUUACACUUUUCUUUCAUAAUAUGGGCGUGGAUCAUUGACUAAAGUCCAUUACACUUUUCUUUCAUAAUUUUAUGGCCCAAUUUAUUAACAUAAAUUAGCUUUCUAAAUAAUAUUUUUUAAAAUAUUUUUUUUACAUUAAAUCUCUUCUUAUGAUUGCAUGUUUUUUUUUGAAACUUGGCUUCAUUAUUAUUAUUAUUUGUCUACAUACCAUUUUUGUUUUUAAGACUCUCAAAAGAAAAUUCAACUUCAAAACUAAAUAUUUAUACUAUGAUUUAGUAAAACCCACGAGUAUACUUAUACCUCUAAUACUUUAUUGUUUAUUUUACAAAAUAAACUAAAUAAAAAACAUAAUAAAAGAUAACACAAUCUCAUAGUUUAUAAAUGAAAGCUAAUCACAUUGAACAAACACACACCAAUGUUAAAUAAAUAUCGGGUUGUGUUUAUUUCAAGAAGGUAAAUAAAUUUUCGUGGAUGUAUGCAGGUCCGGCCGUCUUAAUUUGUUGGACACUGUACAAGUUUUCUUUCUUACAUGAGCAAUAAAAAUAUAUUUGUAAAUAUGACCUUAGAUCUAUGAAAAAAGACCUUUAAUUAUAACUAAACUAAUAGUUGGACCGACCACGGCAAAAUUAUAUUUGUUUAGUUUAAUUUUGCAAAUAUUUUGAUGUUUUUGUUUUUAUUUGCUAUUAUAAAUGUGUUAUGAAAUUAUAUUAUUUUGAAUAUUAUCAUCCAUUAUUUCUGUUGUUUUUAUUUAUUUGAUGAAAACACUUCUUCAUCGUAUGUAUGACCAUUGUUUUUCACACAGUAGUUAAAACAACAAAUAAUGUAUCCGGUUAAUCUUAUUAUACAUGUGAAAAUAAUGUAAUGUUUUUCGAUUUUGUUUGUUUCCAUUUUGUUUAACUUGUACUCUUCUUCUUUUCUUUUCUAGCGAUUUUUUAUUGUCUAUCUCAUUUCUAAUGUGUUAUUAUAAAUAUAUGUGUAGUAUGGGUGGGUUAGAAAGUUAGUGAGUAACAUAAAAACAUUUUAAAAUUUGAUGAGCAUUUGAAAAAGUGUUUAAUUUACUCUCAAUUGAAAACAAUGUUAACUUUCGCUAUUUAUAUUUGCUAUUCUUAUUCGACAUGUUUGUCAUACCUUUAAGAAAAUUUUCCUGUAUAUAUAAACAUAUUCAAUGUUUGUUCUACUUUUACUAUACUAUGAUAACUAGGUUAAGACAUGCACCUUGCGCGGGAUGAACUUAUAUAUAUAUAUAAAUAAUUAUAUAUAUUAUAUGUUUUUACAUGAAAUAAUAAAUAUAUAUUGAAUAAUUAAAAGUCAUUAACUAUUACAUAUAUAAUUAAAUUGGUGCGAACAUAUAAUUAAAUCAAUUUUAUUAAUCCAAACAAUAAUUUUUUUUCUAUUUGAUAGGAUAUGUAAUUAAAUAUUAAAUGAUAUUAACAUACAUAUUAUAUUUUUAAUAUUAAUGUCUAUUAAAUGAUGUUUUCUACUCAUAUGAUUUUUUGAUCAUUUGUAUCUUUUAUAAUAAAAACUUUAGUGAAUGCAUUUGCAUUGACAGGAGGUCUAGUAGAUUGAGACUGUUGAAACUGAUUUUGUGAUGGAAACUGUGGUGUUGAAGUGUUCUGAGCUGGGCCACAAGUAGAAGAAUUCGAGGACCUUUGAUAUAGCUUAUGACCCGGAGGGUAACCGUGAAGAUUGUAGCACUUCUGAACCGUAUGACCAGUUCUCCCACAGUGAUUACAAAUAGGCUUUGGAGGAAAGUGAUUGCCUUGAAAAGCUACAGCAUAGGCUGCAUUAUCUUGAGGAAUAUUGUAGGAAAUAUCAGAAGGACUAGAGUUUUGGAAAGCCAUGCCAACCCUAAUAGAUGGCUUGAUGUUCUUUUGACUUUUUUCUUGAGCUACCAUGUUGAACUCAUCUUCAAUAUCUGGAAUUGGCUACAACAUAAGAAUGUGACGACGUGUAGACUCGUAGGCUUCAUUCAAACUCAUAAGAAACUUAGUAACUCGGCUCCUCUAUUGCAUCUUUUCCCACAGCAAAGCAGCAUUGCACUGCAUUUUCCACAUGUGCAAACCGGAAACUCCACAUAGUUAUUGUACUCUUCCCACAAAGUAACAAGAUCAAUAUAAUAUGUACUGAUAUACAUUGAUCCUUGUUGAAUCUCAUACACUCUUGGAGCAUCAUCAUGUUUAAAACGAGCCAACAAAAUCUUCCAAAUGGACUCAGCCGUCGACAUUAACAAUAAACUUUGUCCAAUCUUCUUUGAAACAGAAUUCAUAAGCCAAGUUGCAACCAUGUUGUUACAUCGUGACCAAGAUCCAGAAUCACGAUGAUUAGAAGGAGGUUUCGGGAUGGUACCAUCUAUAAACCCCAGCUUAUUGCGAACAUUCAAUGCCAUCCACACCGAACAACGCCAUGAAUGAAAUUCCGAUCCAGAAGAUAAGCGAUCGGUAAUAAGAAUCAAUCCAGCAUGAUCAGACGCACGAAGAAAGUAAGGAUUCUCAUACUGAUCUGUUGAUUAAUGAGUAGGAUCAAGUACUGGCUGUUGCUGAUUCGUGGAGCUCAUUGGAUCAAGGAGUUGAAAUUGAAAAUCAAGAACCAACAAUCUGAAGCAACAAUGACUCGAAACGAAGAGAAAUCAGCAAGAAACAACUCACAAAGUACGACCGCAGCUCAGAACGAUUCCACGAGCACCAUAAUCAAGAAAACGUAGGCGAGCCGCGACAAAAGUUCAAUCAAAUCGAUAAGAAAACAAAGUCAGAGAUUGGAAACACACUGGCGAAUCGAUACACUCAUCCUUCGAGAAAUCUGAAGAAGAAAAAUAUUGAGAAUCAAUGGCGGAAGCUUAGUUUGUGCUCUGAUGCCAUAUUAAGAAGUUGUUAUACGAAUGAAAAAUAUUUUCUCAAUCUUGCAAUGUACGUAAACUAAGAGUAUACAUAUUGUUUAGUACAAGAAAGCUAAACCAAGACUAACCAAUGGCUAAGCAAAAGGAAACCUAACCAAAGAGAAAUCUAAUUUAACCAGAUAUUGUAAUAGAGAAAUAGUAUGAAGACAAAAUCAGAUUCAGAAAAGAUAGAAGAGUAUGUUUUCACUAGAUGUUCAAUGUGACGAUACAAAUUUGAGUACAAAUUUAUUUUAAAUAGGAGAGAAUUAUAAAGAUCGGCUCCCAAAAAAUUUAGAUUUCAAAAUAAAUAAGAUCAUAAGAGAUUUUUUUUUUACAGAUGAAGUUAUCUAAUCUAUUAAUUUAGAGUCUUAUUUUUAUCUACUAUUAACAAGUCAUAGUAGGACCACUUAAAUAAUUAGUUAAUAUAACAUAUUUGAUUAUUUACAUUAAUAAAAAACAACUAUAAAUUUGAUAUUUUUUUAAUUAUAAAACAUUUGUUGACAAAGAAUCUAACAAUAUCUUACUUAAAAUUUUAAAUAAUUUUAUAAAAUAAUUAAUUUCGUAAUUAGUAAUAUAAUACUGUUAUAAAACAAGAAAUAAAGCUAUAUACUACUUUUUAUAACAUAUAUAAUUAUAUUCUGUAUUAUAUAAAAAUAGAAGUUCUAUAUGAAUUAAAUAUGACAAAAUUAUAUUAAAUAGGUAAAUUAAAUAUCACUCAUUAUUAAAAUGGGUUUAAAUUCAUAAACAUAUAAUAUUUUUAUACAAAAAUAAAUUUAUUAACAUAGGUUAAAUUUUUUAUAUCUACAACUAUAUAUAUAUAUAUAUAUAUUGUUUUUUUGAAACUCUCAUCAAUAUAAUAGCCCUGUUCUUUUCGUAGCCGCUGUGGCCGGUGGUAGCGACAAAGAAUAAUACUUGGGUGGAGACAAGAUGAUCGAUUUUGAAAGUGAAUUAAACUAUAGGAUCUUGCUGCAGCGACUGAAAAUGAAGACGCUGCUAUCGCUGAUAUUUGUCUAAUUUUGUUAUCACGCCUUACCGCUGCGACUGAAAAAGUAAGUUUGUGUUGUGUCACCGGUGCUGCAUUUCCGAUGGUGAAGGUGUACUUUUCAGUUGUUGUCGCUGGUCGCCAGCGUUCGUAAAAAGAACAAGGCCAUUGUUUAAAAUGUUUAUAUACAAAAAUAUAAUUGUAUAUAAUAACCUUUAGUUCAUAUACUAUUUAAAAAUAUUUUAUUAGAAUGAAAUUUUAGUAAUUCAUUUAAAAUAUUAAUAACAAAUCAAAUUUUAAUUAUAUUUUUUUAAUUAUAACAAAAUCUGCUGAGAAAAAUUAGAAAAUAUUACAAAAAAAUUCAAAUAAUUUUUAUAAAAUAUUGUAUUAAUGUAGUAACAAAAAAAAAUCAUAAUUCAUGUAAUCUUCCAAAGUCAAAAAUAGUAGUGUAAUUUUUCAAAGUUUUCUUGACGAAAUAAAAAAAAUUUGAAAAUAAAUAUCAAACUUAAAAUGAUAAUAUUUUAAAUUUUACAAAAGAUAAAGUCAUAGAUAACAAAGAAUAAUUUUUUGAAAUGCACCAUGAAAAAACAAACUUUGUAAAAAUUAAAGCAAUCUAAUAUUUUAAAAUCUUAAUUAAAAAUAAAUAAAAAAAUCUUAAUAUCAUAACAUCCAAAAAUAUCAUAUAUCAAUAAAAUUUACUAAAAUAAUAUGAUAGAUGCUACUAUAUAUAAAUUUACUAAAAUAAUAGGGUAUAUUAUUUAAACAAAACAAUGUUUUUACUUAUAAAUCCCGUAAAAUACUAAAAUAAUAAGUAUAUAUUUUUAAACACAACAUGUAAAUAUAAAUGAUCUUAAACAUAUGUAUUUUUAUAAUAUUUAUCAAUAAAUUUAAAAAAUGUAUUAUAGCAAAAUGUAUAAAUUAAAGAAAAUACAUAUUUUGAAGUAGGUUAUCUAUUUGAUUAUUUCAUAUUGUUAUUUUAUUGUACCUAAUUCAAAAAUAUAUUAGUAAGUAAUAAAAAUAAAUAACAAAUUAAAAUGUAUUAAACAAAUCACUAUAUAUAUAUAUAUAUUAAUAAUGCCGAAUAAGAAAUUCAAACAAUAAUAUUAUAGAGUUACACAAUAUAUAAUAUUAAAAUGGAAAUUGUAUAUUUAAAAUAUUUGUAAUAAUAUCAAAUACAUUUAUAAAAUGAAAAAAUAUCCGCAAAGACGUGCGGGUUAAAAUCUAGUUUCUAUUAAUGUUGAAAGUUGAAACACUUGUUCACGUAAAGGUUGGAGUGAAGAUGAUGAAGUUUGACUAAGUGAUGGAUGUUUCCAUGAACACCAAAAUGCCAUUGGCUUGAGAUGAGUGACGUCUUAGACAUUUUAAUUGGAACCAACCCAAAAAUGACUAGUUCGGAUCGUAUGACCUUUUUACUCGGCGGUUCCCAUUACUACUCGUGCGUAUCGGUUCGUUUUUGAUUCCUACCCGAAAAAAUGCAUACCUUACAAUAUAAUAUUAAAAAAAAACUCACGACCAUUACUCGAAAAUGGGUUGAAUGGGAAAAAGAUAAACUGUGUUACCACUGUUGGAUAUUUAAGUGAAUCCUUGUAACCAUUAAAGAGAAGCAUUGUAAUUGUUUAGAUGAACAAAUGCAACUGUUUGUGAUUGUAACUAUUAGUGGUAAAUGGUUGCAACUUUUGGCGAUAAACCAUUGUAACCAUUGGUGAUUAAAGCCUUUGGUGAUGAACCAUUGUGACUUUUGUCUAACCAAUGUAACUGUUGGUAUUAAUGGUUGUAACUCUUCACUAACCAUUGUAACUAUUGGUGCUAACCAUUGCAACCCUUAAUACUCUAUAUAAAGAGUUGUGGGCUAUGGAAAAUUAUAACUUGAAUCACAACUUGUAAAACAAGAUUGAAGAUCAAAAACUAAUAGUUAGUAAAAGAGAGAGAAAUGAAGAUUCAUUAUUGUUCGAAGAUUAUCAAAGAUUUUUGAAGAAACACAUAUAAGCACUUAAGUUUUAUUUGUUAUUUUUGUAUCUUAGUCUAUAACAAGAAUGAAACUUUGAUUGUCUUAUCUACAAAGGCUUGGAAUAGGGUCGAAAUAUUCUUUAAGGAAAGGAUGGCGAUUAAUCAUUAUCCAAGUAUAUAGUUCACACCCAUUCGGGUUACCAAACCACAAAUAAUUAACCAACAACCACGAGACGACUUCAACUUACAUGUUAGCUCUUACCACUGAAGGUGAGUUUACAACUCAAACUCGGGUUAGAUAGUCAAACAUGCAAACUACAUUACCACUGGACCACUUUGAUUUUCAUGUAAACUCUUUCAUAUUUAAUAUAUGAUUCAGUAGUUCCCCUUGGACUUGCAAUCAUCUUUAGGUUUCUUGUUAAACUUCUGCUUUCUUUUAAUUAUAUGCAUAAUGUAUCAAUCUCUGACCAAAAACAUAACAAGAGAGAAACAGCGAAGUUUACAGAGUAUCUAAAGAGUUCGGCUUUUAUAAUAUUCUUUCGGUUCAGUUACUUCUAAGAUUUUCCAUUUUUAAUCUACUUUUGAGCCCUACACCAGUUAGAGUCUAUGAUUAGCAGAGACGGUGAGAUGCGGGGAAGUCGGCUGAACACAUGAGUUUUUUCAACCAUUUUGUUCCCACUACGAUAAAUAUAUUUAUUGAGUUCUUUAAGAUAUACACACAUCUGUAUAUAUACCAAUACAAUGUACAUGUAACGGAAGAUGGAUGAACGUGACGGAGCGGAGCGGAGCCGUUUACUUUAAAGUCAAUGUGCUAUAUACAAAGGCCGUUGACGUUCAAUAUUCCACUAUAUGCUAAGUCAAAUAAGUUGAACCUAAACUUAAUUCUUCUUUGGCAUGUUACAUACAAAAAUAUAAGUGACCUGGUGUAAAGAAAAACUAAGUGACCAACAUUGCCUUAAAUAAUUGCUCUAAUUAGUUAAAGAUGUAGCAUAAAAAGAGAAGCAUAAUAUGUAAAAGACUAGUCAGUUUAUUUUGAGAUACAGUUCCUGAACUUUCGAAUACAAAGGCAUUAUAUGUAAAAAUAAUGUAUGUUAAAUUAGUAUUUUAUCUCGGUGAACACCAGAAUAAGAUAAAACCAAAAUCUUCUAUUCUUUUUGGAAAGAAUGUAAAUAUUCCUUUACGUCAAGAUAUCAAAACUGCUCUCGGCAUUUUCAAUGAGGGAGGCAUGGGUUUAUACCUAGAACUUCCAUGAAACUUGGUAAUCCCAACUCGUUCCGCUUGAGGAAUCAUCCCUACCAUGGACAUAUAUAUAGAUCCUGAAAUGCUCGUCUAUAACCUGGUACGUAGGGACACAAAUGAGUGGGAUGUUUCACGACUUCGUCAGUUAUUCCAACUCAACGAUGUAACCCAUAUUCUUGGCUUGAGGCCUAGUCAGACUCUCACACUUGAUGCUUACGUCUCAAACUAUACUAAAUCAGGUGUUUAUACAGUGAGGUCCAGGUACGAGUUGAGCAUAGGUUCUCAUUCGAGAAAUUGAUGAAAAAAAUUGGAGACACCCUCUUAAAACGUCAUACUUCAUCGUUAUAGUUCACUUUUAUUUUUAAACUAAAAAUGGACCCGUGCGUUGCACUGGUUACUGUUUUAAUUUCACGAUGAGAAACUUUUAGUGAAAUUGUAUGAUUUUCUUGCAUAUCUUAUGUGAAAUUUAUUUUAGGAAAAAUAAUUUGUUUUUUCGCAUAAGUUUUAGUUAGUACUUCUAUUUCAAGAGUAAAUACAAAGAAUUUGAAAGUUGAAUAAAACCAAUUAAAUCGAUGUAAACGUCAUAGAUUUUCUUAAGCUCUUUAAUGUUUGUAACUUGCUAUGUUGUUCUUCUUGUUCAUAAAUAUUAUAAUGUUUUCAUGGUAAUUUGGUAAUGUUUAUGUUGCCAUUGUAGGGUUUCAGAAUUAAUUUUGGUGUGUUUUUUUAUCUUUUAUAUAUUUUGGUUUCAUGGUUUAUUCAUUUUUAAAAUAUCUCCAUUUGAGCUCUAUAUAUUUUUCUAUAUAAAAUAGAUAAAUUCCAUUAUAGCGGUGAGUUUUCCCAAUGUACGACUCUGCUAUAGAGUUUCUAUAUUUCAAGCAAAAAAUGUAAUGGAAUGAUAUUUUCAACUCUAUAUUUAGAAACAAAAAUACCAUAUAUGUAUAUUUUCCCUUAAAAGUAUAGGAACUCUAUUAUUUAAUCAUACAUUGAAUCAAAUUCACAUUUAAAGUAUAAUUUCUCCACUUUAGAAGAAAAUAUAGAAAGGUGAAUUGGAAAUAAUCUUAGUUGUUCACCAAUAGAAUAUAUAUUUUUUACAGCAAACGGCUAUUAUGGAUACAUUUAUGGAUCAACAUUUUUAUCAUGUAAUUUAGAGGUAACAAAACUAUUAAUAUUUUAUAUUGUUUGAUACUGCUUUGUUUCUUGUAGCCACAAAAAUAUAUGUGCAUGAUAAAGACUAUGUUUCUGAAUCUCAUUUGUGUGAAUGACUGUUUAAGAAAAUAACUUGCAGUAGCUAUUGUAAUAGACAUGAAGAAAACAUAAUCAUAAAGAAGUUUUUGUAAUUUCCUUUUAAAUAUAUGAUAUUCAAUCAGAUAUAUAGAUUGGAGUCUCGUUUUCUCUUCUUUUUUUUCUUAGUGAUUACUCAAUUUUCAGACUUUGGAUCUACAGUUAUAGUAAAAACUAUUCAGAAAAGAAAGAUACAUAUAACCUUAAAUUAUAAUUUUAUGUAUAGAACAAUUUAAUUACAUAACUAGAAUAAUACCCGCGUUGAAACGCGGAUUGUUUUUUCUUGACUGAACUAAUAAAAAAUAUGUAUUAUAUAUACAAUAUAUUUGUUGAUUAUUGUUUUUUUUUUAAUUAAAUAUUUGUUCAAUAAAUAUUUUCAGUUUGGUUCUAAAAGCGAGUGACUGAAGUUGUAUUAGCAAUUUAGCUAAAUUAUUCAUGUAAAUUCAUUCUCAUAAAAAUAAAUUAUUUUUCCAUUUGAGUUGUUAUAUUAUUAGAAAUACAUAAAUAUCUCAUAUUACUUAUAUGGUUUCUUGAGAUCGUUCAAACUUUGUGAAAAUAUAUUAAUAAUAUUGUGAUAAAGAGAUUUUAAAGAAUCAUCAGUGAACAGUUAUAUUAUCUUUUGACUUAUGAAAUUAUAUUUUUAUUUCUAAGUCGAUCUAAUAAUUUACUGUAAAAAAAUUGAUCUAAUUAUUUAUUUAAAUGUUAUACGUGCAGAUUUAUUAUGGUGACUCAAGUAACUAACUUUUCUUUACUAUUUGAAAUUUAUUCAAAUAAUUUUAAAUAUGGUAAAUUAAGAUUAUCUGUGAUUAACUAUCUGUAUAAAAUCUAACUGUUUCUUAAGUCUUUACGUAAAGACUUAACAAUUUUUCCACAAAAUAUGGUAACAUACAGAUUCUUAACCCAAUCAAUAUCAUAUACUAUUAGUAGAUUAAGUAAUUAAGUCAAUAUUAAGUAUAUUAUGUAAUCAAUGUGUAUAUUAAAUGGUAGGACUAUGAAUAAGUCCAAAACUUAAAUGAUAAUUUUCAUGGUAGAUAAAAAUAUGACUCUAUUUUGAUAGAGUAUAUUAUAUUAUACAUAUAUAAGAUUUUUAAUAAAAUAAAAUAAAAUUAAAUAUUUAUCUUUACAUCAAAUAAGAGAAAAUUCAUUCCCGUUUGUUCUUAAUUAUUAUUUUAAUUACUUGCUACUCACUUUAUAGUAACAAUAUAGACUUGUUUUAUUAAACUGAUUCAGUUUUAAAUAAUUUUCUGAAUUCAUUAUUUCUUGAUGAUUUAUUUUGUUUAUAACAACUUAACAAAAAUGAAUUAUAAAAAAAUAGUAAAACCAAAAAUGUAAUAAGAUGAUGCAUGAAACUUGAUUUUUUUUUUUUACAAAACACCUAUAAAUAUCAGUUAUGUCAAUGAUAUAAUAAUAUAUUUUAAUGACCAAACACUAAAAAUUAUGUCAAAUAGGUGUUUGAUUUUCAUAUGACCAAACACAUAUAUAAAAAAAACAUGACAACAUCUUAAUUUUCAUGAUUAUUUAUGAAGAAUGUGAUAACAAUAAAAUGCUACUAAAACAACUAGGUAAGAAACCCGUGCGAUGUCGCAUGGGAACUCAUUUAUAAAAAAAAUAUGCCACAUUUUAUAUAAUUACUUUUGGAAAAUAUAUGUGUUACAAAAUCAUCAUACAUGCAUUUUUAGAUAUUUUUAUAGGCUACUUGUAAUAAAUUACAAAUAUGUCAGUACCAAUUAGUAAAUGCACACAUAUUUAAGUAUCUAUGCAUUUAACCUAUUAUCGUGAACUAAUUUUUUUAAAAAGCAUAUGCCAUUUUGUAGAACUUGCUAUUAUAUAAAGUAUCUUAUUUUGCUGUCAAAGAAGUUCAUUUGUCAUCAAAGUAUACUAAAAUAAGGAGAAAAUUACAUAUUUUUUAUUUUUCAUGAACAGUAAAGAUGUAUAAUAUAAGUAAAAUGAGAAAUAACCACAUACCAAAUCAAUAAAAAAAUAUUCUAAAUGAAAAAAAAACAUGUGAUCCACAAACCAUAGAAAUGUAUAUUAUAAAUUUUACUUUAUUUUAUCCCUAGAUUUUGAUUAUGAUCUAUUUUUCUACAAACUUGUAGAUUUUUCAUUGUAUUUAUGCAUUUACAAAUGUUAUUUAUGACAUUUCUUUAAUCAUGAUCAAUCAUACUAUUAUAACAUUUCUUUAAUGAUUAAUAGAUAAAUUUAUCCUAAUUAUAUGUUAAUAUUUCAUAAUAGAUUUAAAUUGUGGUAAUAUUUCAUAACACAAAAUUUAUAUAUUAUUAAAAUACAGCAGAAUCAUUUUAAAUUAUACAUCUAUUAUAUAUUUAAAUUAAUAAAAUAAUAUGUAAAUAAUGAGUUUCAGAAACUACACGGAACACUCUUAAUGAUAUAAAUAAUUAUUGAUUUAUUAUUUGAAUUCUUUCAUAUAAACCAUAAUUAGUAAUUUUAAAAAUGAAUUAUAUGACCAUUCUUUUGUUUGCCACCUUUCACUAUUUCAAGUUAUGACCUUUUAUAAAUUAAUCUAAUAAUCUUUCAACUAUUACCAAAAACAAAUAUAAAUACACACAAGCGCUUAUGCAUGUUACGUUUAAUAAUGGAUGCACACAUUGACAUGAACCGGUGUAACCUUUCAUCACACAAAUAAUGGCCAUGGCUUUUUAAUUUUAUUCUUGAUCACUAAACCAACAAACACUAAACGGUUGACCAAAUUAAACAGCAUGCAAUGCAUUCAUUCGGGCAGGUAUGCCAAUCCACUUACGCUUCCACAAAUUUAUUAAACUAUCAUAUUCUAAUCUCAAUGUCAUUCAAAAGGAUAUUGUGUUACCAAAAUUUACAGGCUUUUGUGACAUGAUCACAAAUGAAAAAAUUAUAAAAAAGAAAAACACACCUUAAAAAAAACACCUUUCAUCUAGUAGAAGAAAAUUUAGACUAAUAAAUUCAUUGUUUCGUUUAAGAUUUGUUGCUAGCCAAACACGAAUGACUCUUCUUACAAUUUUUUAUUAAUAAUGUUUCAUUUGAAUAUUUUUUAAAUAUUUUUUUGUCAGAUAAUCUUCUAAAAUAUUUAGAACCAGGCAGGGGCGGACGUAGGUGAAGACGUACGGGGUCACGUGCCCCGUCUCUUUUUUAUUUUCCUUGCAUAAUGUAUACAACUUAUGCAAUGCUCCUCUAAACCUACAACUAAAUCUGAUGAAAUAAAAUUAUGUGCCCCCGUCCAAAUGGCCUCUUACAUCCGCUAUUGGAACCAGGUAACUACACAAAACUUUCUUCGUCACUGUUUUAAGAGUUUGUGAAAGAUUUACAGUAAGAAACUCAUGGACAUGGAUUAUUUAUAGAUUUUCAAAGCUAUAUACAAAUAGUCAUAAUUUUUCAGAUUAUAGGUAAUUAUUUUAAAAUGGUAUCUCUAAAAUAUUUUUUAAAGAGACACAUCAUUACAAAAAAAUACCCUACAUUAAAAAAAAUCAUAUGAUCAAAAACAAAUUUUAAUUAAUUGUGAAAAAUUACAAUAAGAAACUCAAUAACAUGAAAUAUUUAUAGUUUUCCAAGCUAUGUAUGAAUAGUCACAACUUUUUCGAUUAUAAGUAGUUAUUAAAUGGUAUCUUUACAAUUUUUUUGAAUAUUCACAUCUUUUCAAUUUUAAAAAGAUACUUAUAUGACUGGUCACAACUUUUCAAUAGUCACAACCUUUCAACAUAAUUGGAAUUCACAACCUUUGAAAUUAAUUGGGAUUGCUAUUAUUAGUAGAUUACGAAGAAUAGUAGUAACAAAUAAUUUGAAGUUAUAUUAAGUGAAUGAAAAAAAGAGACGUCCAUUGAUAUUAAAAUAGAAAAUAAAGAAAAUCAAACAAUCAUAUAUCAUAAAUUUUAAAAUAUCACUUUAGUCUAAAGUGUUUUUUUUUUUUUAAAAAAAAAAUUGUCGCUCGUUUCUUCUUACUUUUAUUCUUCUAGUUCUUUGUGUUUGUUGUUUCCACAGUUCUUUUCUAUAGAAGUUGACAAAACAGAAAAAAAAAUUCAAGUAAUGUAUUAAGUUACACAUAUAAAUAAAUUUACAAAACAUAAUAUAUAUUACAUUUACUUUUAUUUCUUUAUGAAUUUUUAAAACUUUUAUAUGAAAAUUGAAAUUUUCUUUUUUAAUUUUAUCUCAAAUAAAUCAGUUUCGUCCAUAAUUAUAUGCACAUUUUUGGAAAUAUCUUCCAAUCCUUAUUCCUGUGAGUUUAUUUUGAAUUGUCGACAUUGAUUAUAUUAAUAUACUAGAUUAUCUCCCGUGCUUCGCACGGCUAUGUUCAAUAUGAAACCGAGAAAAUGUUAAAUAUUAAAUUUUCUUUUCCACAACAAUUACAAAUUAUUAGAUAUGAUGUAUCACCGCCUGUGUGGAUCAAUUUUACUGUCUUUAUAUUAUUUGAUAAUGUUAUAUUUUCUUAUUUAGAGCUAAAUUAUUUUCUGUCAAAUAUUUUAUGAACCUAAUAACAUUGGUGCAUUCAAAUUUUAAAAAAUAGGUUGAACGGGGGAGAGGUUACACAAUAAUUUUUUAUAUUAUUUUAAAAUGGUUACAUGUUUGCAAUAUAUUUCUAAAAUAUUGAGAUUAAAUUUUAUUUUUGAGAUUAAAAGUAUGAAUUUUUUUUACAACUAAAAUUUUGAUUUUCAAGACUUGUUUUUAUUUUUAACCACAUUACUUAUUAUGUUAUAUUUUUAGAUUAAAAGUCAUAAAUUGAGAUUUUCUUAAUCCAAUAGAAAACUGUUUUAUUAUUUUAAAGGGUUUAUGGAAAGGUGUAUAUCUAACACUAUUAAUUAUCUUAUGUCUUCGAUUUUAAAAAUCCGAGGAAAUUUGUAAAAGAAAACUUGAGAAAUUUUAAAAUUUAUUACAGAAAAUAAUUUUAAAAUUAAUUUUUUUUAACAGUUGCAGACGUUCAGGUUUAAGCAAAAAAAGAGAGUUGCAAAGACUAAAAAGUAACAAAAUUACUGUUUACCUGAAUUAUGAAUGGUCAAAUAUUCUGCAACUCCAUCUAAUUCCAUUCGUCUUCAACCCUUGCAACCUUGCUCAGAACAUAUCUUAUCCUAAUUUUUCUUUGAUUGCUCACAUCUUCUCAUUCUUCUUUUAGCUUUGAUUUCUCGUGCAUAUCUACAGCAAAUAAAAUAGUUUCAAAAACUGAAUAGUACAAAGAUUGAUGCUUGUUUUUUUUUGUUUACUCAGAUUUUGCAGCAUAAGUUAUGAAACUUAAUGAUAAAAGUUUCAAAUUUAUGUAGAAAAAAAAAAGAAGAUAUGAAGAAACCCGUCAGAAAGAGAUAUGUCUGUAAAAAAUUGUUGUUGAAAUAUUUUACAGUUUGGUGCACAAAAGAGAAGAAACGAUUUUAAUUUUUCAAAUUGAAGUGGGUGAUCGUGGCUUUGAAUGAGGAAUAGUUUAGAUUUAGAUCUAUGCAAUUUUUUUUUCAUUGGAGAAAAUUUAACUGUAUUGAUAAUGUAUUUUAAUUUAGUUUUAAAAAUUAUAUUGAAGCACAAAUUAUGUGUCAAAAUUUGAUUGGCCAUGUGACUUGUGCUUUAGUAUAUAAGAGAUAUGAAAACCAAAUUCAUGGGUGCAAAACUGUUAAACCAAUAUUUUUAUUUGACCUUGCAAAUAAUUGUUUUUUAAAUACUACAAUUAAAAUAAAAUUAUAGAUUUGUAAUUAUUUUAAACCCAUAUUUUAAUUUAGCCUUGUAAAUAAGAUUAUUUAAAAAGAAACACUACAAUUAAAAUAAAAUUAUUAAAAAUGUAAAUAUUUUAAUUUGUAUGAAAAUUAUCUUAAAUUAAUAUUUUUAUUUUGUAAUUAUAUUAAACCCACAUUUAGGAAAAUAAAUACUACUAUUAAAUAAUUAUUUGUACUUGGAAUUUCUUUGUUUACACUUUUGUUUAAAACUUAAAAAAAAAUUACUAUUAAAUAACUAUUUAGAUGAUAAUUGUUAUUUUGCACAUGUCACAAUCAUAAAUAUAUAAUUUUCAUGCAUCGCAAUCAUAUUAAUUAACAAUUUGGAAGAACCAAACUUUAUAUAAUAAAAUUUUAUAAUUUAAUUUAAUUAUUAAUCAACUUAUCUUAUAUUGCUAAUAUUUUAUUUACUAGAUAUAUGAUUUUUUUUAACCGAAUGUAUAUGUUUUAAGUGUCAACGCGCCAAACCCAAAAGGCAAAAUGAUAUACCAUGGAUUUUUUCACUGUUAGCAAAUGUAUAUAUGAGUGUUUUAGGGUAUAUUAUAUUGGUCUGAAGUAUAUUUUAGAGUAUUUUCAGGUACAAGUACGUUUUGGAGAACUUUGGUGAUUUUGGAGCAUUUUGGAGCCAUUUUAAGUGUGGAUGGAGAGCUUCCCAUGGUGCGAUUGAGAUGAUCCUUUGAUACAAGAUAGAGCUAUGAGCGUCGAUCGAUACUGAACCACGAACAGACAACAUGGUUGCGACUCUUGUGCUGACAAGGAAUUAGAAUGGAGACCUGCUUGUCCCCGGGGGUUCAUAUGUGUAAUGCAGCAGGUCAGAAAAUAGAUGCACAUGGGGCUGUAAACCUUGAAGCAUCUGCUUCUGCUGAGGUUGAUAGAGUUCUUCGAUAGAGAACUAUAGUAGAAUUGUCCAGGCUUAGUCAGUUCUAUACCAACAGGUCUACGAUUCAACCUCCAACAAUCCAUGGAGUUGAUAUGAAACCCGCCUACUUCUCUUAUGUGGAUCACCACCCCUUUCAUGGUCUUCCUCAUGAAUUUCCUUUAGACCAUAUUAAGACACUAGAAGAAUUUGUUUUGGGCAUCCAGGAGCAUGAAGCAACCAAAGACUACAUCAUCUGCAAGCUAUUCAAAUAUUCUCUUUCUGGGAAUGCGGUAAGUUGGUUGAAGCUCCUACCACCAGGAUCUCUCACUACCUGGAAUGAUGUCAAGACUGCGUUUCUGACUAAAUUCUUUGAUGAUGCAAAUCCUGGAGAGAUAAGAGAUGAGAUUUGGACAUUCUCUUAGGGACCUACUGAAACAUUCACAAUCUCUUGGGACAGAUUUAGGAGAUACCAAAGGGACUGUCCACAUCAUGGUUUUACAGAGAUUCAGCUGCUGAAAUAAUUCUGUCAGGAUAUUGAUGCGUGAUAUCAUAUAAUGCUGCAUACUGCAAGCGAAGGAAACUUCAAGACAAGGAAACCAGAGGAAGCUAAGAAAUUGAUUGAGAACUUGGUAUCAAGCAAAAUUACCAAGAAUUUGGAUAUGCACAAGAUAAAAUCGACUGCAAUGGAUGGUGACAAGAUUGCUGAGGCCGACAUUGGUUAUGUAUAUGAAGUCUCUUUGGUGGAACAGGCUAUAGAGAAGAAUGAGAAUCAUGACCAUAUUCAGAGGAUAUAAUCUAUAAUGGAAAAGAUCCUGAAAAUUUAGCAGAAGAUGAGUGACCACUUAAAUCCGAGGUUGGAUUUUGUCUACAAGAAGCUGACUGGAAAAUUUGAAGCCUUGGACACCCAUGUCAUGACGCUAGAUACCCAGGUUUCUCAGACUGCAAAAGCUAUGAAGAUGCAAGAAGCUCUGGUUAAAGGGAAAAUUGUAGAAAGUGAGAGGCACUAGGUUGAUGAUAUCUUAGAUAAUGAUUCCAGGGAAGUGAUCGAGUAUGAGAACUUGGAGGAAGAAGCUUUUCUAGUCAAAAUUUUCAUAUCCAUUGGCAGCUCACAUUGGCGUCGAUCGACAUCGUCAGCCAAGCAUCGAUCGACAUCUUCAGCUGAGCACCGAUCAACAAUAUCAGCUGGGCAUCGAUCGACACCCCCUGAAGAGUACAGGAACAGUGAGAAUUUAACGACAUUCAGAAUUUUCUGCUCGACACCCACACCCUCCCAUCUCGUACAGUGUUAAAACAGACGAUAUUGAUCGGCAUCAUCACGACGUAAUCGAUCGACAACAACAGAGGAGCACCGAGCGACAUCAGCAGCCGAGCAAUGAUCAACAAUCUCCUAUGACAUGUCAACUGCGUUUACCAGACCUCGAUGCACACCGCUUGAACAGAACUCAAAACCCAUCUCAGACAUCAGUUUGUUUACGAACAGCAUAAAAGACCAAUCAGCAACCUGCAUAUGCACCAGAGCAAGAGCAAUUGACUCUAGUUGAAACCUCUUUCCUUGAGAGUGUUGAUCGACGAUAUAAACCAGGUGUCGAUCGCAUCAAAUGGACGGACACGAACCUGUCAUGGAACGGCAGGCAACAAAAGAAGGGAUUCCAAUUGGGGAAAGAGUGAGAUCUAGGAAACCCUAUAUUCCUUAACACCUCAGGAGACAAGUUAACAAAGUGGAAUUUGAUGGAUUUCACAAGAGGGUGAAGAGGGUUCUUAAGGAUAUGUCUUUCGAGGUUGCCUAUCAUAAGUACAGACUUGGUAAUUUUUUCAGAGAGAGCAGAGAGACAGAUAAGGACAUUGAAUUGCUAUUCAACAAGGUCAGCCGUAAACCCAAGAGGACACUAAAGAAGGAACAAGAUCCUGGAAAGUUCUUGAUUCCAUGCUGUAUACAUAGCCAGAAUUUUGCAAACGCCCUCUGCGAUACUGGAUCUGCAGUCAACAUCAUGGCCAUCGACACUGCUGAGCUAUUAGGACUAAAGAUGGAGCCUUGUCAAGAUAGUUUCACUUUCUUGGAUAACUCCAAUGAAAACUCAGCAGGAAUGAUCAAGAAUGUUAACAUGGAGAUAGGGGAAUGUAUUAUCUAUGUGGACUUUCAUGUUGUGGAUAUCAAAUCAGGGAAGACAUCUCCACUUAUUUUUGGAAGAGCAUUCAUGGCUACAGUGGGGAAUUUUGUGAUCUCAAGAAGAAUAAGAUGUGCCGGACUAAUGUUGAUGAAACUGUCUUCUAUGAUCCCGUGGAGAAGAAGAACACUGAGGAGUUUAUUUCAUGAAUAGAGAUGUUUGAAGAUCCAGCACCUACAGUUGAUUCAAAUCGCGAGCUUGCAAAACUAUGAUUAGCAUCGUUCGACAUUCAUAUUUCAGCAUUGGUCGACAUUCAGCCUUCAAAAUCGAUCGACACGAAGCCAUUAGCAUCGGUUGACACCAUUCGAAUUUCAGAACAGACCAAGACUGAAAAGUCUAAGUCUAGAGGAAGGAUUAGGAAGAUGAAGAAGAAAAAGAAAAAUAAUGUUGAUGCAGAUUGCGUGUCACUAGUCCCUUCGCAAUGUCAAGAGGGAAGUCUUGAGUAUAGAGUGCGCUGCAGAGGAGGUCCAGAACCUUUUACUAGGGUUAAAGUACUAUGUGAUCCAGAGCUGAGAGAGAAAGGGAAAAUUUAUGCAAGAGCUUUUAUCAACUGCAUCAACAAAAUGAGAAAGAGAGACAUUGAGACUUGUUCUGAAGAAAGUUCACAUUCUCAUCCGGUCCAAAUAAAAUCUCCAAAAGUCAAGCUAAUGACAAAAACAUAAGCUCUGAAUGGAGGCAACCCGUUUUAGGUAAGUUUUAAUUAUUUAUUUUUUAUGUUAUACUGAUUUUCGCAUUUAUUUAUUUCAGAAAAAAGAUGAUGAACAGUGACGAUACUGUAGCAGAGGCAAUGUAACAUCGAUCGACAUUGUAGCAGAAACGUUGAUCGACAUUGUAGCAGCGAUACUGUUCAUCGGCAAAAAUAAAAAUAAAAAAAUAAUUUCUGGUUUUAUUUAUUUCUGAUUUUUUGUGUUAUAUUAAUUUCAGGUAAAAAAAAGAGAACCGAGGAAAAGAGGUUAUAUACCAUUAUGGACCGACACCUGAUCAUCGUCGGUCAACACCACUUCACAUGAGCAUCGUGCGACACCUGAUCAGUGUCAUUCGACAAAACAUCAAGAGAAUCGAUCUAUGGUCACUUAAUUGUGUCUAUCGCCAUUCACAUCCAGCGAGCAGGUAUAUCAUCUUACUUUGUUUAAUUUCAUACUUAUGAUUUAUUUUUCCACCAAUCUUAGACUGUAUAACAAUGAGGACAGUGUUUUUUUUUUAAUCUGGUGGAUGUAUUACUAAUAUUGUGCUUUAUUUUGAGUUUUAUAUUUAUUGAAUUUUAUUGAGUAAAGAAAGGGAUGUGGAAAUUUUUCAAUUUUACUUACUAUCUAACCACUCUCUAGCACCAUUCUUUGAGGUUAUUGACUGCAAGGUGUACUGAAUGGAAAUGCAAAAGUGGAUCACCUGCCAAUAACAUCCAUGCUAGCUAAGAAAGUCCGAAGGAACCAAAGCUGACUUCCAACCUUAAUAAACUUAACUUUCUUGUCUUGGGGCUUGGUUUACAUUGGAUUAGAUUCUUCUGUCAGGUCUGAAAGGUAUAAGUCUGGAAAUUUUUCAUUUUCUUCUCUCCUCUCUUCGGCAUCCAUAAGAAUAAAAGAUUAAAAUGGUUUCAUGCAGUUUAGAGGGGUAGGAGUGUCUCAUGCGACUCCAUUAUUCUUGUCUAAUGGAAUGAUCACACAUUGUUGGAAGCGAGGGGUAGAAGUGUCUCCUGUGACCCCACUAUUCGCCUACACUUACCAAGAAAAGAAAAAGAAAAGAAAAAAAAAUCGAAAAAAAGAUGAAUAAGAUCGACUGCAUUAGCAUUGGAUUUAGGAUAAAAAAGAUUCAGAUAAGAGAUAUAAGAGGAAAAGAAACCAUAAUAAGACUACAUGUGUACUUAGAUACUUACUGGAGUAAGAAUCCACGUGUCCCUUGAUCGAUACUCCAAGAUUUAGCCUACACGUUUAAAUGCAGAAAUAAUGUCAGUAAAAGGGUAUGUCAGACGGAAUCAGCUAAGCAGUGGGCUAGAUGGUUUGUUUGCUAAGCUAAGGUCUAGUACAUGAAGUGCGUCUAAAAUUGGCACUGAUUUGAUGUGGCUUGCAGCAUUGCAGAGGUAAAAGUAGGAAGUUUAAAAUUGUGUGAGUCCUUGUUGUUUUCAAACCUCUUUCACAUAUUUAUUCUUGUUUUGCUUGAGGACAAGCAAAAUGGUAAGUCUAGGGGUGUGAUAUACCAUGGAUUUUAUCCACUUUUAGCCAUGGUAUAUGAGUGUUUUAAAAUAUAUUAUAUGAGUUUGGAGUAUGUUUUAGAGUAUUUUCAGGUUCAGGUACGUUUUGGAGCACUUUUGGUAUUUUGGAGCCUUUUGGAGUCUUUUGAGGUACAUAACUAUAUAGACAUAUCAGAUUUUUAUAUAUGGAUAUAGACCUUCCCACGGUGAGAUUGAGCUGAUCAUUUGACACAAGAUAUAGCUAUAAUAUAGCUUUCCAAUGUCACUGGUUUGAGGUCAAUCCAACGGUUAGAUCAGAAGUUAUGCAUGUUUUACUGAAGUGUGGUUAGUUUGUCUCGCGAGAGAGAGCUGUUGAGGAGAUGAAGAAACGUCGAUCGACGACACAGCUUUGGUGUCGAUCGACGGUGAUGCCAGAACGCGGUCCGAGUAUAUUUGAAGACCGACUAAAGCCCAGAAGCAACCAUAAAUUACCAAGAUGCCCUUGGAUGAUCUAAAACCAUAUUUCUGUGUUUUUAGGCCAUUGUUGAUGGCUACGCUUUCUAUUAUUCUAUUCUAUUAUUUUAUCUUAGGUUUGGAGAGAAGAUCAACUCUCUUUCAGAGAUUGAUUGGAACUCUAUUGGUUUUAUCAUUGAUUUCUUAUCUAUUAUUCAGACUAUGAUUUGUGUUAUUGCUUCCAUGUCUCACAAUUCACCUAUAGGUUUAGGGUUCAAAUAGGUUAUGAAGAACUAGCCCAAAAUAUAGAACUGCUAAGUUGUUAGUGAUAUACAUCAAUAGAAUUGUUCUUACUGCUUGUGUUCUAGUGUCGCGAACUAGAACUCUGAUAUUAGGAUAAUUAGGCGCAAGCGAAAGCAUGGUCUUUUUACCUGUAUUGUGCUAGGAUUGCUAGAAACAAACGGAAAUUGAUCUAGGAAACUUAGUGAACAUAAUUCAAACAUGCUCGGUAAAGCUUGCUGGAAGGAACAUCGAUCGACAACCCUAUAGGUGUAUCGAUCAACAUUUCGAAAGGUGUAUUGAUCGACUAUCCAUUGAUAGCAUCGAUCGAUACUUUUUCCAGAUCGACAAACGACAGUUGAGAUCUGAGAUCCAGAUAGUAGAUAUUCUAAACAAACAGAAGUUGAUAGAAUAUUUCUUAGUUUGAGUUUUAUAAUAUCCAAUACUUAUCUCUAGCUUCUAUACUAUUAUAAUCCUGAUUAUCUGAAUAGAAACCCUAAGUCUACUUAUUGCUCCUUAUUGAUUACAACCUCAACCAAUCAAACAACUGUCUUGUUCACCUUGCUUUCAUUUAUUUACUGCCUUAUAAACCGUUUGUCUAGCUUAACAUUAAUUUCUAAAGUCUAUUGUGUGACCUAGCUCUCUGUGGAUUCGAUCUCUAAAUACUACAACUUGACCUUUUGUUUGAGAAAGUACAAAUCACUUAGGGUAAUUUGAGUGAUAUCGCAAAACAUAUUUAUUUUAGUGAAAGUUCAAAUUUAAAAAUCAAAUGUGCUCAUUUACAGGGCAAAACAUAUUUUCCCAAAUUGCAUAACAUAUUAAAUGUGGCGAGUUAGUUGGUUUUGACACCCUAUCUUAAUCAUAAUUUUCUAAAACAAAAAUCCAGAUCAGAACCGCUGUGGAAAUAUUAUAUGAGCUGGGUAAUCUCAAAAAGUCAAGUCAACUAGAUAUGAACAUACUUCAUUUAAUUCUAUAUAUUACGUCUCUGUGCAUGUAUCUAAGUUAAUAAGCUACGUUGAUGAUGGCGGCGCUUCUUCAUCUCAGCACUCUCUUUUCACUCUUAGCCACAAUCCUUUCAAUCGCAGAAAGUACGUACAAACAUAAAACUCCCCAACAUUGAUUAUUUACUAGCUUUAACCCACUUCAGUUAUUUUUAACUCACUUACAUCGUUUUUUGGUUCUGUUCUAUCAUUAGGUAUAAGCAUUGACUGUGGAUCAACGGGAUCCUACGUUGACUCGAACAAUGUAACAUGGGUCGGAGAUAAAGGCUUCGUCACGACCGGCGAGCCCAUGAAGAUUCCAGACGUCAUUACGAAGCCGAUCAACACCCUGCGGUACUUUCCAACUGGCCAAACCAACUGCUACACCAACAUUCCGGUGACAAAACGCCAGAAAACACUCGUGCGGACAAAGUUUUACUACGAAAACUACGAUGGUAACUUUUCCCCGCCAUCUUUCGACUUGGUUUAUGAUGGGAAACACCGUGAUUCUGUUGAAAUCACUGAGUCUUUACUCAACAACGAGGAGACGUUCUAUUACUCGGAGUUGAUAUUUGCUCCGGCUAAUGAGAGUAUUAGCGUAUGCCUCAUCCGUACGUCUCCAUCCGACAACCCGUUUAUAUCGUCCAUCGAGGUUUACAGCUUAGACGUCGGAAUGUAUGCCGAUCUUGGUCCCAGUGAAGGUCUGAUUACCCGACAAAGAACUGCUUGCGGGGCCAAAGAGAGUAUAAGGUAGAUAUUGCCUUACCUUAACAAAAAAAAAGGUUUGGGGUUUCAUAUAUGCGUAUUUAAAACAUGGAGCUCUAAUUAAAGUAAAUAAUUGUGUACAUAUAAUAAUCGUAUUCUUAAAACAUAUAAUUAUUUCAGACAGGUAAAAUUUUUAGUAUCUAAUUAAAGUAAAUAAUUGUUUACAUAAAUAAUCGUAUUCUUAAAACAUAUAAUUAUUUCAGAGCGGUAAAAAAUUUGUGAGGAGAUUGAGUCCUUGUAACCAAAGUUGGUCCCAACUUGAAAGAGAUAAUGGCAAGGGCCAGAAACUUUUUAAAAAUACCGAUUUAAUUAUUGUAUCUAACUUUCGUGUUUGAACUUAUUUUAGCUACCCGUUAGAUCCUUACGGUAGGCCAUGGUACCCGUUAGGUGCCGAUGAUACACUGGCCGAUCUAACAACCUCAGCCCCGUCGAUAGACAUCACAGGGGCGUCAAACAAGCCGCCAGAGGUUGUUAUGUCGAAGGCAUCGUCAUCGCUUGGGGAAAGCAUAAAACUCUCUAACUUGGCGCUCCCCUUAACCGGUCUACCGGUAUACUUGGCUCUUUACUUCUCGGAGCCUCAGACUCUAGGUCGCACCCAAAGACGGUCAUUCAACGUUUUCUUGGAUGAGACCCAAGUUGGUUCCGGUCCCAUCAUUCCGGUUUUUGGGAAAGCAACUCAACUUGUUUUGAGAGAUGUAGUGGCCACGUCAGGGUCCCAAAUAGUAUUUCAGUCCACUGGUGACUCGGUUUUGCCACCCAUCAUUAACGGUGUGGAGCUGUUUUCGAUAAGUAACAGCCGGAAUGGUGGAGGUGGAGGUGGAGGCCGAAGCCAAAGCAGCGGUGGUAAUAAUGACUUUGGAGGUUAGUCUUUAAUUUUAGUUUUAAGUGAAAUAAUAGUAUAAUAUUGACCAAUCAAACCAUAAACCCCCCAUCACCUUUUGCUUGAAACAUAUUAAUAUAUUUUGUUUCAUAUAAUGGUAAGUUUUUUUUUUGGGUGCAAGUAUAAUGGUAAGUUAGUAACUAAUUAUGUUCGGGAGGAGUGGCAACAUAACUACGAACGUUUUUAAUCGUAGAAUUCCCCUUAUUUAUUUAAUGUGACACUAUUUUCUAAUAUGAAAUGUAUGGAUUGUCAAAAUGAACUAUAACUCAUGAACUAACUCAAUUCAGCUUGAUUUUUCAUGAGCACAAAUUCUAUUUUUUAAGUUCAUUUAAUAAAUGAGUUUAAUGAACGAGAUUAAUUAGAUCACGAAUUAUAUGAACGGUUUUUAUGAACAUGAGCCAAUUCAUGAGCUUAGUCAUUUUUAUACUUAAAAUUAUAUAUAUAUCUUAUGUAAAAAAGAUAAUUUGUAUAUUAUCAUAUUUAUCUUUUAAAAUUAAAAUGUAAAACCAAAUUUUUUAAAGAUAUAUAUUGAAAAUUUAUAAUAAAAUUUUAUAUACUCAUCAUCUCAUAUAUAUCUUUAAAUUUAGAUGUAAAACAAAAUAUUCCUAAGAGAUAAUUUAGAAAUUACUCGUAAUUAUCUUACUUAAUAUUUUGUUUUCAUUUAAAUUUUAUAAAACAUAGAUAAGUAAUAUAGAAAUCAUACUUUUAAUUUUAUAAAACUUAUUUUAAUAUUUUAGUUUAUGAUAAUUAAUUUUUUAUAAUAGAUCGCAAGCUAGCUCGUUUAUCUCAUGAUCUAAAUGAUAUGAGUUCAAGUUUACAUAUUGAAGUUCAAUUAAUAAAUGAGCUAAGCUGAGCUACCUUAUGAUAGAUCUGAACUUACUAAGAGUUGAACUGAGUUGAGCGAGUUAGCUCAUUUUGACACCCCUAAACGUAAUUCAUACAUGAUCCACACUAUUGAUUAAAAAAAACAAUUGCGAGCAGAAAUCAUCCGUAGUUAAGGAUUUUGCCCGAUUUCAUUCGGCAAAUAACUCCUCGUUUUAAUAAUGGUAUAAUACAUAAUUUAAUUUUACUAUCUUUACACAAAAUAACUAACUGGACACCCUUCUAUGAUGGCUAUAGGUGAGGCAAAAAACAAUGGAGGAAAGAAGAAGAAAAACAAAUUACCACUCAUUCUUGGAGUUGCGUUCGCCUCUGCGUUUGUAAUUCUCUCAUCAACGUUUGGAGCUAUUUUCUUGAGAAAGCGUCAAAAUACUAAGCCACAGUCCAAUACCACACCAACUACGUCCACAGGUAUGUAUAUAUAUAGUUGAUGACUAAGCGUUACGUUGAUAUUACUGGAUUAAAAAAAGUAGCACUGAUGACAAGUAAUCGUUACUAUCUGUAUAUUUUCAAGAGAAUGGGACAGGCACUGGAAUGUCACCUCUAGUUGAACAGCAAUUUGCUAGUGAUGCAGACCACUCUUAUGUUGUUCAAGAUGAUCAUCACUGACAUUGGUUCCUAGUUGUCAACGAGCUACAUCCAUGUGUUUUUAUUCUACUUUUAAAAUUUAUGAUAUUUUUCUUUAUAAAUAGUAUUCUGUUUAAUUGUUAUCCGACCAACAAUUGUUAUUAAACUCAUGUUUUCAUCACAUUCUUUUUAAAGAUAUGGGCAUUACCACUGAUUUCAGUGAUCCAAGAUGGUUUUUUUAAUAUUUUCUAUAUACACGAAUAUGGAUCAUGAGAGUUCCAAACCGGAUAGAUCAUGAUAUUAAAAUUAAUUGUAGUACAUAUGGAAAAGAAGGAAGUAGGUAAUGCAUGCCGGAGUUGGUCAGACUUUUUUAAUUUAAAUAUAUAUAUAUAUAUAUAAUCUAUAUAUCAUUAAUUAUUAUAAGAAAGUUGGCAGUUACAUAUAUCUCGUUAAAACAUAUAGUCAUACACAUUGCAAAAAGAAAGAGUUUGAAGCAACAAGUAAAUAAUUUGAAAACUUAUUAUAAACCCUGAUGUAGUUCAAGCUAGAAAGCUGAACUAUAAAGUCAUCACAGAAGCUUUAGCCAUAGCCCACGUCGACCAUGCUUUCCAUUUACGUGUCUUCCUCUACCCUUAGCUUGUAGCUGCUAUCUCAGUUGCCUUACAUGCAUAUUGCAACAACCCACUUCUGAAGAUUUUUAAUUUCAAAGAAAAUGGAUCAAGAGCGAUUUUUCUACAAAGGAAUUAUUUCUCUAAAUGUGGAAACACUUGAUUUCUUCUAUCGAGUUGAAACAAAUGUGGUCUAAGCCUCUAAGAAAGUAUUCGAUUAGAGAGGAAAAAGCAGAACAUUGACUUUCUCUGAACGGGUGGUUAUUGUCUUGCGUCUUGCGGGCUUGUUGCUCGCAUUAGCGUCAAACCAACGAAGAUUACAAAGCGGUUAAGUUGUUGUUGUUUAUUUCUUUGUGUGUCAAAUAAAACCUCAAAUUGUGUGCAAUAACUGUAUCAGUGUCAAAAGGUCAAAACCGUGUUUGCUAUAUAGUAUCGUAACUGGAAAUUAUUCGAUUAAUUAAUUAAAUUUUUUUUGUUUGCUAAGAAAACUAAUUAAUUUGCAACUUGCUGAUAAAAUAGACUAACUUGCCGGUCACACUAAGUGAUCAGAAUUAAAUAAAUCGACAACCACGAAAUGUUUAUUUGGUCAGUCAAACAAACAUGGUAGAGGGAGCUCAUGAGAACCCUAAAAUUGAUUACUAAAAGAAACAACAACAAUGCAUAUUCCUGACACUGUAGCAUGAGUUUGAAAAGGUCAAGAUUAAAAUGCACAUAAUGUAGGAAUAUCCUGUACUUGCCGGUUGUUGAUAAAAUUAUUAUUUCUCAGCUGGACAAUAAAAAUGUCAAAGCUAUAAAAUGUUUUCGUGUUCGAUUCCAACUUGGUUUUAAGAUACUAAUAGACAGCUAAAUUCUGCAGAUAUAUCAUAUAUAAAAAGAUGCGUGCACAGAUGUUGUAUAGAGAGCAUUAGUUGAAAAAUUAGCUCCCACCAUGGCUACUGAUUCUCUUUUUCUUCUCUUUUUUCUUUCCAUCAUAACCCUCUCUCAAGCGAGUAAGUAAACUCUCUACUAACUUGUAAUUAAACUCUUCGUUUAAAUAGUUUUCAAUCUUACAUAUUGUAAGUUCUUUCUUAGAACCCAACCAAGUUAGUUUAGUACACCAAAAAAGUCUUGGAUUUAAUCGUUAAUCUGAACACCUUGGUCGGGAUCAAUCGACAUGAUUAAAGGGUCCUUUUCAUGUUUUAUUUUCGUCGACUUGUGUUUAGUCUUUUGUAUAUGAUGCGGUUUCCUAUAAACGUUUACGAAAGGCUUUUGUUAUCAUAUGGUCACAAAGAUCUAUAUAACGACUUUUUUUCAAAAAAAAAAAAGAUCUAUAUAGCGACCGUGUGAAAUUUUCCGAAACCCCAUCACACAUUAAGCGUGAAACAAAUGUCUUAGUCACGUUUUUAUAAAUGAUGAUUUUUCAGAAAACUUCUUACUGCAGAUUAUUUUAUGCUAGGUUCUAAAUUCACUUUAUCUACAACAGAAAAAAAAAAUCAUCAUUUAUUCAAUUACACAAUUUUUUUAGUUACGUUGUUAUAUCAAAUAGCACUUCAUUAUUUGCCUCAAAGUUGGAUACAUAAUCCAUUUUUAGCUAUAUAUGAUUCACAUCAUCAUCAUCAUGACACUAUCAUGAUUCAUGCAUGCAUGAUCAAUUUCAGGUGUAAACAUAGACUGUGGAACGUCAUCAUCGAGCCUAGACGCCAACAACAUAAAAUGGGUCGGGGACAAAGACUUCAUCACAUCCGGAGAAUCGGCCACAGUUUCCUCCACAACCGUAGAGAAAUCCCUCACCACACUCCGGUACUUCCCAACCGGUGAAUCCAACUGCUAUAACAUUCCGGUAACAAAAGGGGGAAAGGUUCUAGUGCGCACGAUGUUUUACUAUGGGAACUACGACGGGAAGGCUUCAUCCCCAACCUUCAGUGUAGUGUUCGAAGGGAAACACCGAGGCACCGUAUCGAUAUCUUCGGCAUUCGAGCCUUACACUUUAGAACUGAUAUUUUCCCCAGCCAGCGGAGAGACAAGCGUAUGUUUUGUGCGCACCUCUUCGUCAUCAAACCCGUUUGUAUCAUCCAUUGAAGUUGCUGACUUGGCCGAUGGCAUGUAUGACGAGCUUGGUCCCGGUGAAGGUUUAUUUUACCAACAACGAGUUGCGUAUGGGACAACAGAAACUAUAAGGUAAUUAACAUUAUCCAACUACGUACUUCUAUAACUAACAUAAAUAGUGUUGAGUUUCAUGAUCAAUGAGUAAAUUGGCAUAUAUCCUCCAGUAAUACCCUUUAUUUUUUCUAAUUCUUAAUGUAGACUUCUGAAAAUACCUUUCAAUUAUAUUUUCUUUUAGUUUUGUGUUCAUGGUCAAAAAUGUUCUAUUUAUUUACAAAAAAAGUGUUUUAUUUCAAAUGAAAUGAUAGUAUCUUCCGUUUUAAUCCCAAAAUGUUUGUAAAUUGUAAAUGUAUAUGGAAAAAAGAAACCAUUUGAAAAACAAAUGAUGAUAAGAAAACGAAAAAAAAUUGAAAAAAUAAAUUUUAGUGUGAGAUUUUUAGAGUCUCUUGUUGUGUGAGUGAAGAACAAACCCUUUAGGGUGAAAUGACUUUUGAACUGAUGAAGGGAGAAUCUGAUGAAAAAGAGUGUAAGUGAUUUAGAAACAAGAGAUUAUAGAGAUUGAGAGUAUAAGAGAUUGAGAGAUUAAUCUUGAUUGGUAGAGCAUAAUGCAGUAGCAGCAUGCUAUAGAAUCAGUAUGCUGCAGGAGCUGUACGCUUUUUGCUAAACUGUUUAAUAGGAUGAUUGUUAGAGCUCUGUGAGUAUGCUAUUUAAAACUAUUAUAAAAAUUAGUAUAUAAUAUAUAAUAUAUUUAUUUUAAUGAAUAUAUUCCUAUUAUAUAUAUAUAAAUAUAUAAAAUUAAAAUAUAAAUAAUUAAUUUAUUUUAUCAAUAAUUUAAAAAUUAUGAUUAUAUCGAAAAAUUAUUUUUAAAUAUAGAUAGUUUAAUUAUAAAAGAUAUAUUUAAAAAAUUCACAUUUAAAAUAAAUAAAUUAUAUAAAUUAAAUUAUAUAAAUUAAAUUAUAUUUUAAAUGUGAAAUAUUAUUUUUUCUAAAAAAUAUUUUAUUGUAAAUUAAUUUUAGAAAUGCAAAAAUUUAUUUUCUGGUUAUAUAAAUAGUUUUAUCAUAUUAUUAAAUAAAAUAAAUAAAUUAAUUACACAUUUUCCUUAAUUUUAUAAAUUAUAAAUGCAAAUACUCUUUUAAAAGCUUCAUAUGAAAGCAUUGGCCAUAGAGCAUUUGGAGACUAUUAGCAUUUAGUAAAUACUUCUCUAAAUGUUUUUCUAACAAUUGUUGAUUGGAUAAUGUAGAGCAUGAUGCUAAUGCUUAUGCUCUACCAAUCAAAGCUAAGUAACCAAGAAUAGAGUUUCAAAACCAAGAACACUUUAGAUAAUGAAGGAGAAGGGAAAUUCCCCUUAACUUACUUAAGUUAAAUCUGUGUACAAUGAGGACUUUUAUAGCUAAAUACAUAAGACAAUAAAGAUUAAAGAAAUAUGAAGAGGACAAAGAGAUAAGGGUCCAACAGCUCUAAAGAGAUAAUUAAGGUUCCAACAGUACUAUUUUGAAUUUUAAACUUUGAACUUUUGGACUGUAGUGAACAGUGCUCGCGAAUCCUUACAACACCAAAAUGUUCAAUGAAGGUUUUUCAAAAUCGCCCACUUUGAUGCCGUAGGGGAUAUGUCUUUUUUCUCAAACACUGUUCUUUUCCCUUCAACAUCAAAGUGCUCAAUAUAGCUUUUUUGAAGUGCUCACUUCGAUGUUGUAGGUAAAUCUGUUUUCCACUUCUCUUUUGCUCUCUUUGUCUUUGAUUCUUCCUUCUUCAUUUUCUUCAAGUUAACAUUUAGUAACUAAACAAAACACAUAUACGCCAAAUUUAAACAACAAUCAAGACCAUAAUCUCAUUAACCAUAAAAUAUGUAAAAUGGCUAGGAUUAAACCUAUACUUACAAGUUAAUAGCUUCUUGGGUUUGGCUAUAUAAGAAUAACUUUUUCAUUUUCUUUUAGAUCGGAUCUUUACGGUAGGUUCUGGCUGCCUUCCGAGAUAAACAUAUUGUUGACAGGAGUACCGUCAGCAGCUGCAUCUAUCGAUACCUCUGAUGCAUCAAACAAGCCGCCUGAGUCCAUUCUUCGUAACUCUUGGAAUGGGGAAAGCUUAACACUAUUCGACGCCACUCUUCCUACGGGAGGAGUUCCUGUUUACUUGGCUAUGUAUUUCUCGGAGCCACUCGAAAUGAGUGUACGAUCGUUCAACAUUUUGUUUGGCAGUAAGAAAGUUGGUACGGGUCCAAUUGUGCCAGUGUAUGGAAAAGCUACCCAAGUGGUAGUGAGAGACGUCGUGGCCAGCUCAAGCUCCCAGCUAGUGUUCCAGUCCACAGCUAGUGCACUUUUACCCCCCAUGAUAAAUGCGUUGGAGCUCUACGUGAUAAGUUCUGGUACAAGUGGAGAUGGAAGCGGUAAUGGAAGUGGAAGCGGAUCAGGAACAGGUGGAGGUGGUGGGGAAGGUGGAGGAGGCGGAUCUGGGAGUGGCGGACCUGCAGGUUUUUUUGAAUGAAUUUUUCAGUGAUUAGUCUUGGUUACGGAGUAAAAUCCCAAAUUAUCAAAAAUGCCUUAUAUAUAUAGUUACCUACGUAAUUUAAUAUAUAACUUUUUUUUGUUUAACUUUUUCCUAAGGCUCUGGUGGGACUGGAAAAGGGGGAGGAAGCAAUGAAGGGAGCUCAGGUUGGUAAUUCGAGUUUUCUUUCCGUUCUAGCUUGCGAUCUUGAUGGGUUUAUUAGUUUGAUGAAAGUAACCCAUAUAUACAGGAGAUAUCUUUAUGCAUUUAUAGAUCAUAAAUGAAGAAAUGCAAGUAAAAAUCAGUACAUUCUGAUAUCAAUGUAGGUGGGUCAAACAAUGAAGAAAAGAAAAGUAAACUGCCAAUUAUAGUCGGUGCGGUAUCUGCGGUAGUGUUUGUUAUUAUUGUAUACGUUAUCGUUGCUAUUUUCUUGGCGAAACGUCGCAAAGGAAGGCUGCAAGGACUAACAUUGCCAACGUCUACAGGUAGACAUUGGUCUCUUGAUAUGUUUAGUAUAAUUUGUACUGUAUACAAAGAGUUUGAUCUCUUUGUUUUGAUGAUAGUUUCUCAAACGGGUACUGGACCAUCCCCUCUAUUUGGACAACAGACGGGGAACGACGCGAACCAGUCAACAAAUGAGGCAGACAUGGGAGAUAUCGACGACCUGAUUGGAGUGAACCAAUCGUAUGUAACACAACAACAUUGAACUUCUGUUUGAUAUAAAUAUUUUUAACCUUCAAUAGUUCAAUUGUAUGGCUUUCCAAUGACUUUUCUUUUUCCUUCUAAAUUGCGAGAUGUUUUUUGUUCUUUAUGGUUUUUUUUUUAAAUAAAGUUGUUCUUUAUUGUUAAUCACAUUCAAUUAUUUAUGGGAAAUUACUUGAUGUAUGCAAAAAACACAUUAUAGUUCACUAACUAACCGAACAAAAAUUAUCCCCUAUCAUUUCUACAAUAUAUACCAUAUUGACCUUUAUAUUUAUUUCUUUAUUUUUUUUAGUUUUUGCUCAUUUUUAUCCCCUUCAAUCUUAUUUCCUAAAUAGUCUUUAAAGUAUAUAAAUUCAUAUAUUUUAAAAUUCAACUGCAAAACAUAAUCUUCUAAUACAUAUAACAUGAUUUGAAUUUUUUAAAUCAUAUACUUUUUCAAAAAAUUAAACACCCACCAUUGACGAAACUGGACUGAGAUGCGGCGCCACAAUAGAUAGAAAGAACAUGAAAACAAAAAACUAAAGAGAACGUUUUCUAUGAUUCGACUUCCGUUGCAGAAGAAAACCCUCUUUAAUAGAAGUCAAAUAAUAUGAGCAUUUUGAUAGAAACUGAAUCGAUUCAUCAAGCUGAGGAAGAUAAUUGGUUUUGGUACCAAAACGUUUUUCGCAAAAAGAGAGAUUAAAAUAAAAGAAGUAAUUGCAUAUAUUUUAAUGACAUGAUCUAAAUAUUUUCUUCAAAUGAAUGACAUGUCAUUAAAUUUGUAUUUGAUUGGUUGAUUAAACAUGUUGAUGUGGACACUCUAGAUGUUGAUUAUAUUAUCUUUUUAGUAUUGUAAGAUUUGUGAGGUUGUGAAUGUUGGACCUGUUGACAAUCUUAUGGAAAAAAGGAAAAUCUUUAACUAAGUAGAAUUAACUAUUUGCGAGAUAAUGUAGAUGAGCAUUUAAUUUUAUAUUGUUUUAUUUUUAUGACAUGAUAUUAAUUUAAUUAUUAACAUUUAGUGAUAUGUGUUUAAGAUGUCCAAUGUGGUUCAAGUAUGCAAAAUAAGUAUCAAAUUUCUUUAAAUCUAAUGAGGCAUCAUGGUUUGUAUGUAUUGCUCGGGUUUUUUGGUGUACGAGAAUACAAAAAAGGUCUUAUUUUUUUUGUUUUGUUUCUAAGAUUUAAACUGUUGAUAAUAUAUGAUUUUAAUUGAAUAUUUUUAUUUUGUUGAUGUUUCAAGAGCUGUGAUUGUCUCUAAUAACUUCAGUGCCACUGCUAUUCUUUUUGAUCCAAAACUACAAGAAGUGUUUAAUCUCAAUUCAAAGUAACCUAGCGAUGAUUUUGUUAUUUCUAAAGAAGACUUUGAUCCAAAAUCUAUAUAUUUUAAAAUAGAUUUAUAUGAUGAGUUUUUUCCGUUAAGAAUCCACUAAAAUUUAUAAGUAGAAUGAAUGUAUUGAAUGAGGCGUGUUAUGCUUAUUAAAUAUUUUGGUUAUAGCAAUAUAAUGUAGGUUGAACCUAUAAACCUUGAAUUUUUUUUUUGAAAAUGUAGCAUCUACUCUUAUUCAAAACAUUAUAUAAAAAUAUCUCUAAAACUACCGAGCUUGAGCCACGAAUAAAAAAUUAGAAAAAUACCACCACUCUUCGAUAUUGAAAAGAAUUUUGUUAGUCAUAAUUAAUCAAGCAAAUAAUCCAAAUUUUAAAUAAAAUAAUUGUGUUUAGACCCACAAGCCAUUAUAAUUUGAUUAAAAUCGAAUAAAACACACAAAUAAAUUUAAUAUGUAUAUCUAAUUAAAUAAAUUAGUCUGAAUACAAAACCUAAUUCUAUCACUUUUUAUUGAGAAUAUAUAUUAAUCUGCAUCUCACGCACAAGGUGCGGAUCCACACCUAGUUGAGUUUUCCAUUUUUUGAGGAGAGAUCAUUUAAGGAUGGAUUAGCUGAAAGGAUGAUCUUAGACAAGAAAAAAAUCACGGAAUAUCUGUGUGCGUCACCAAAAGCGUAAUUUUGUUUUUGUCAAUUGAGUUCAUUCAAGGAUAACUGAGUAAACCAACGUACGAACAAGCCAUAAACCGGCCAGUAAGAAGAAUAAAGAGGAAAAAAACAAACAAAGGUGCUGUUCCAGAGGGGCCAGAAGUCGCAAGCUUGAUCGAUGGAGUCUGCCUGCACUCUCUGCUUCAUUCAAACAACUGACGAGGGCUUCAGCACACAAGAUAAAUAGGAAUGGAGAUAAGGGAUUACCUUGUCUGAUACCCCUCUCUGGCUUAAUAAGCCAUGUUCAUUCCCAUUCAUGAGGACAGAGAAAGAGACCGAGCUAACACAAGCCAUAAUCCAUUUGAUCCAUCCAUGCGCAAAGCCCGUUUUUUCCAUCAGAAUCUUCAAGAAGUUCCACUGAACUCUAUCAUUGGCUUUUGACAUGUAUGUCUUUAUUGCCAUGAAGCCAUCAGACACUCUAGCAUUAACCUUGAGGCCAUGGACCAUUUCAUGAGCUAUGAGUAUAUUAUCUGAGAUGAGUCUGCUUGAGACAAAGGCUCCUUGAGUCUCUGAAAUAAUACCAUGAAGAAUAUGCUUCAAGCGGUUGCAAAAAAUCUUGGAUACAAUCUUGUACUGAACCGAGAAGAGCCUAAUAGGCCGCAUGUCUGACAUCUUGGACGGGUUUGGAAUUUUAGGGAUAAGACUCAGCUGAGUGUGAUUCCAUCCAUCCGGAAUGUCGUAGCAAAGAAGGAUAAGAUUUAUGAAGUCAAGGAAGGCCCAACGAUGUGCCAAAAGCGCUGGUAAAAGACUCCUGUGAGGCCACCUUCUCUCGGGGCGCUACUCCCUUUAACACUAAAUACUGCCCUCUUAAUCUCAUCUUCUGAAAUAUGAGCCAUCAGAUGCUCAUUCAUAGUCUGCAUCACACGUUCUUGGAACCCAGCAAACAGAGAUUCAAUUUCAAAUGGGUUAGAGCUCAUGAAAAGAUCUCUGAAGUAUUUGACUGAUAUCUCUCCUUUUGCUCCUUCAGAGAAAUGUUCUUGUCCAAGUUCAUCGAGAAGCAUGAGGAUUCUGUUUUCGUGCCUCUUUCCUUUGACACAGUUAUGAAAAAACUUGGUGUUCCUAUCCCCAGAUUUUAACCAUUCUUCUAUGCAUUUCUGUCUCUAGUAGAUCUCCUCUUCCUUAUAAGCAGCCGCAAGCUCUUGUUUUAGUUUCCCCAUAUACGAGAAACAUGGUGAUCUCUUUGCUAUUUCUCGCUCAAGAGCAGAUUUGAGUCGAGUUAUCGUGUUCCUGGAGUUCAAAUCUGCAUGUUUCUUCCACCUCAGAAUCCCUCUACGACAGCGGUUGAUCCUCUCCUUUGUGUUGUUUUGAAGCUCCUCUCGAGAUCCCCAGCAUUCUUUGAUAACAUCCUCUAAGCCCGCUUUCGUUAACAUUCUUUUAUCAAAGAAAAUUCUUCCUCUACCAGAUCGGCUCUUUCUAAUGCAAAACAGAUCCUUAUCGGUCUGUGGUCGGGCGUCCACAUCUCAAGGUAUUCCAUACUAGCUCUAGGAAAGAGGGUAAACCAUUCAUUGUUGCCAAAGCUCCUAUCCAGUUGGCAUUUGACCCACACAUUAUCCAUUUUCCCUCCCCAAGAGAGCAUAUUGCCUGUAAAUCGGACUUCUUUCAGUUUACAAUUCUCCGCCAUGUUCCUAAAAUCCCAAAAGGACGAUUCAGGACGCACAACUCCACCUUCCUUCUCUUCAUUGGACAUAAGUUCAUUAAAAUCACCCACCAACAGUCAAGCCUCAUCUCGUGCUAAGCCAAUAUCUGUCAAAUGCUCCCACACCUCCUGUCUUUUACUCUUAACAGGAUCAUCAUACAGACAGGUCAAAAAGAAUGAGAUUGACCCCAGUGUAACUUUAGUAUCAAUAAUCCUCUUGUCACUACUCAGAAUCUCUACUUUGUAGCUCUCCUUCCACAUGAAGGCCAAUCCUCCACUAAGGCCUAAUGGUUCCAUAGUAAUCAUUUUUCCGUAACCCAAACUCUCUUGCAACUCAAACAUAUAGCCGUUCCUUUUUUUUGUCUCCAUCAAAAAAAGAAAAUCAGGAAAGAACCUUCGAUGCAAGCCCCGAAGGUGUUGAACUGUCUCGUUGCUUCCUGCUCUUUGACAGUUCAAACUCAUAUAACUCAUUGGGGAGGCAGCGGCUUCAAUACGGAAGCCACCGUAGGAUCUGGGGUUUUUGUAUUUUUGUUGUCUGAUGGAAACAGAGGCAGAGUAGGCUUUCGUUUCAUAGCCAUCUGAGAAGGAGAUGUAGAUGAGAUACCAGCUUCCUCUGAUGCUAUAGUAGGUGCCUCGACGUUAGAUUCCUUUUCCACGAAUGAGGCCUCAUCUGCGUCUUUCCCUGGCUCUGGUUCCCAGAGACUCGCCCCUCAGAAGAAGGGCCAAUACGAAAACCCGUGGAAAUUAGAUUAGGGGCAGAGUAAGUAGAGUGUGAUGAGAAGGAUGAUACAUCAUCAGUCUCAUUAUUGCUACUUAUCCUGAGGAGCUUGUAAGGACCCUUGUCUUCCUAGCGAAAUGUUUUGCGCGCAACAUCAGGUUCCUGGUAAUUAAAGACAUGACCUUUACCCUUAUCUAUAUUGCUUGUAAGCCUUGUGAGACGAACAUAAGACUCAGCUUUAUUGUUCUCAAUGCCUUGCCUCACUCGCUGAACAAUAAAGCUGAGUCUUAUGUUCGGAGACGUAAGCAAUAUUGAUAAAGCUUUGUUGAGAGAAUCCACCAUUCUUGUUAGGAGAUUGCAGUCGGAGAGAAUAGAGCACUGGCGGAGAGGAAGAUUUUCAGGAAGCAAGUCUAGCACAAUUGAUGUGAAACAUCCAUUAAUUACGUUAAAUUCGACCACAUUUUUUUGUGAAAUUAUCACAAAGGGAAAAACGUGAUUGAGUCAAGUGAGGAGAAAGGGAAAGAAUGGAGGAAUAUAGAAAGUCUAGAAAAAAGACUAGAUUUAGUGCUCAAGAUUUGGAAAUAAAAUUAAUUGUCCAAAAAAGAAAGACCGAAGCCACAUGCCGGUGAAUAAUGUCCACUCAAUAAAUCGAGAGAAGAGAUUUAUUAGAAAGUAAAAAAGAUAUCGCCGGAAAUCGUCUUUUCCAGAGAGCGUAAGAAUGAAUGGGGAGGAAAUUAUUAUCAAUGAGGGGAAUAGAUGCGUUUACAAUAUGUGAUACUUUUGAAGCGUAAUUUUUCUAGAACACUAAUUUUAGUUUUUGUUCGAAAAACUCGGUUAUACCAAUUGGAUAAUACAGUCUACAGUCUUAAGGCCCUAUAAUGGGGCCCAUGAGGAGAGGUUUAGAGCUUAAAACGGCAUGGUGUCGACUAGUCCAAAAAUGAAAUUGCAGGCAGUGCACUGAAACUUCUUGAACUCGCAUGAGAAAUCAGAUAACGACGCUGAAAACCGACAGUGAUAAAGAAAAGAAGAAUCGUGAUUUUUAAAGAAACCUGCAGAACGUUCUGUCUCUCUUAUCUCUUAGCUCUCUCUCUCUCCCCCCCUAUAUAUACGCAAAGGCACGCAGGCUUCAGAACCAUCAAAGUAACAAAAGAGAAGCAAAGCAAAAUUGUAGAAGAGAACAAACUUGUGAAAGAGCAUCUUAGUUUUCUGGGCAGUAAAACGAUGUCUCUAAUCCCAAGCUUUUUCGGUGGCCGAAGAACAAACGUGUUCGACCCAUUCUCGCUAGACCUGUAUGACCCGUUCGAAGGAUUCUUAACGCCUUCAGGGAUGACAAACGCAACCUCCAAGGACGUGGCAGCGUUCACAAACGCGAAAGUGGACUGGAGGGAGACACCAGAGGCGCACGUGUUCAAGGCGGACUUGCCGGGGCUGAAGAAGGAAGAAGUGAAGGUGGAGGUUGAAGAUGGCAACAUACUUCAGAUAAGUGGAGAGAGAAGCAGCGAGAAUGAAGAGAAGAGUGACAAGUGGCACCGUGUGGAGAGGUCAAGUGGGAAGUUCAUGAGGAGGUUUAAGUUGCCGGAGAACGCGAAGGUAGAUGAAGUGAAAGCUUGUAUGGAGAACGGUGUGUUGUCGGUCACGGUGCCUAAGAUGCCUGAG
Molecule: long non-coding RNA, 65863 nt
Filed under: Brassica rapa (field mustard)
Lineage: Eukaryota; Viridiplantae; Streptophyta; Magnoliopsida; Brassicales; Brassicaceae
Description: long non-coding RNA (BRAP_LNC004303)
Source: RNAcentral